This 77656-nucleotide long non-coding RNA is filed under the name Panax ginseng (ginseng). RNAcentral's name for it is "long non-coding RNA (PGIN_LNC003140)". Lineage: Eukaryota; Viridiplantae; Streptophyta; Magnoliopsida; Apiales; Araliaceae. The record is from RNAcentral.
GUGUUGAGGGUGUGUAGUUCAAAGUGAUUCAAGAAUGCUCACCAAAAAAUGUUUAGUUAACGGAGGAACUUACUCUAUAUUAAAAUGAGAAAAUUGAUAUGAUUAUGGGUAAAUUAGUCAUUUAACUUAAUAAAUGUACUAAAAAAUGGAGUGUUACGGUCUUUUGACACUUAUUAAUAGGGAAUGUCUUGCAAUAUUAUGGAAUGAAGAGAGUAAUUUAUAAAAAAUUGAACAUGUGACUCUGGUUAUCGAUAUUCUAUUUGUAAUGGUAACUUAUGAUUGUGAAUUGAUGCAUGCUUAUUUAUAUGAUGUUUCAGUGUUUAGCUAGUUUCUUGUAAUUUUUUUAGUGUUGACAAUUAUUGAACUUUUUUCAGCAUGAGAAUUGAAAACAACUAUCUUCAUGGAGGCCGUCGGUAUUUGAAACUUAGUUUUCCUUCGGAGGAUGAAUUGGAGAAGUAUAGAUAUUUUUUGAUCAACCAUGGAACGCGUGACCCGAUUCCUCGUGGAAUAUUUUUUCACCAGUCCGAUAAUGCAAGCUGCCCAUAUUAUUCUCUGUUGGAACCGAAUUGGACUCCCCUCAAAGAUUGGAUACAAUCUCUUGAUCGCAAUACCUUUUGGACUAAAAAGACUCGAAUAUCAAAUUUCCUUCAGCAUUCAAUUCCAUUGCCCCAUUACUUCAGCAUCAAAGUUCGCGCGGUUUUGGGGGAUGUAAUACACGGUCUCAUAAAGUCCCACGCGGGAGGACUUUACAGCGGCUUACUUACUCUUCCAAACAUCCAAAAUGGGGAAACUGGGAUCUUUGUCUCAAGUGAUGGCAACGCAGCUAUCAUAGUGUGCUACAAACGAAUCAGAGAAAGGUUACCUGCUUGGGGCAUUCAACCCACUCCAUCUACUAUUUUGUUGGAUCUUAUUGAUGAAUGUUCUAAGAUAAAAGAGGAUUUGUUGGGGUUUGCGGAGUUGGUUGAUCAUUUGGUUCAACAAUUCAAGGAUGUCACCAUUGACAUUCCCAUGGAGAUUGUUAUGUUUGAAGAACUCUAUAAGUAUAUCCCAAACUUCACAACUUUGCAUCACAUUAAGAUGUUUGAGACUUACAUUCAGCAUGCACCACUAUUCUGGUCCAAGUCUAAACUGUCCAAAUUCUGCAAUUUUAUGUUUGUCGUACACCGCAAAAAAUUUAGGAAUCCUGUUGAUUAUUCUAGAUUGGUCAAUUGGCAAAGUGCGAUAGUGCUUAGAGGACAGACAGAUCGUCUCUACGCUAUAUUUCAUCACAACAUUGGUUCUGUAACAUCAUAUAAUACGGAUGCUGAGAUGAUAAUAGUAUUCAUAAGAAAUGUUAUGCAACAUUUAUGCCACAGUAGUGUAAGUUUACUUUUGUACAUUAUUAUUUUCAUUAUUUUCAUAUUUUGUAUUUACUUGUUUAUUAUUUAAUUAAAUUGCAUGUUUUUUGCUUGUAGACCUACUCAUUUGGCCACCAAGAAGCUAUUGAAGUCAUACACGAGCAGUAUCUAGACUGGCUUCCGAUACUAUAUACUUCUUUGGUCGGGGGUCUCGGGCCUAGUUUUGUACAUUCAAUCAAACGACCUUUUCGUACUUUUCAAGAGUUAUUCGAGGAAGAGUUUGAUAUAUAGAUGCAGGUACAUCUAAGGUCCUUAAGACUCUUUAGUUAUCAGUCAGACAAAUACUCCACGUGGAAUGUGUAUGUUGUAGUGCAAAUGUGAAUCACUGCAUUUGUACGUUGUACCUUAGUUGUAAGUAGAUGUUAUACUUGUGGCUGUAUUUUGCGAAUAAAUCUAAGCAAUAUACUUAUACACUCCCUCCGUAUCACAAAAGAUGUCUAGAAUAGAAAAGAUAUUUGUUCCCGAAAGAUGUAUAAAGUACACAAUUACUAUUUUACCCUUAGGGUCUGUUUGGGAACCUUGAUUCGAUGGCUUGGAAUUGGAAUUGGGACUCCCAAAACCAAUUCCAUUGUUCUGAUUAGACUUGGCAAACGGGCGGGCCGGACAAAAAUGGUCCUGGUUUUGAUGGGCUGAAAUUUUGUGGUCCGGGUUGGGCCGGCCCGACCCGGCCCGCAGGCUUCUUUUUUUAAUUUUUUUAUUUUUUUUGCAAAAGAAAUAGUAAUAAUAAUAAAUAUUAAAAAUAAUAAAAUAAUUAAUAAUAAACAAUAAUAUAAACAGACGCGGUUAAUUAAUUACCUACAUUAACUACAUAUCUCAAUCAAUUAUCUACAUUAACUACUUGUCUUCGUGGAUUUCGAGUUUUCCCAUUAUCUUGGGUUGUUCCAAUAGAAAUGUGGCUUGGGUGAAAAAAGAAACAUUAAUCUCUAUACUGCUUGGGAAUGAUUAUUCAAGCACCACAUCUGAUGUUGAUUUCUUAGUAACUGGUAUGCCUUACCAGGAGUAUACAACAGUUGUACACAGGGAAUACUACUAGCUAGCUAUUAUUCUAUUAGAUUAAAAAUUGAGGUUCUGUAUAGAUCAGGUCCUGUCCCCUUUGGUUCUAGUAUUUCACAAACUCUCUCUCUAUACCUCCCUCGUCUAUUGUUUCAUACUGAUGCGAUCCGAGAUCUUAGUCCUUUAUUACUUGAGAAUCAGGAGAACUAUUUGUAUGUUAUGGUGACCCUGGUAAAAGAAAAUCAAAGUUCCUUGUUGGGGCUUUCUUUGCUUUCUAAUUUUGUUCUUAUAUGGAUGGAUACCGUAGAUGAGAUGUAUGUAGUUAAAUAUAUUGGUAUAUGUAUAUAUUUAUAUAUUAGAUGUGAAGCAGUAGUAUGAGAUAAUUCGUACACAUAAUAAAUUGAGGAUUUUGCAAUAAUAAAGCAAAAGGUGACUUGAAAUAUAAUGCAACACAAGUUAGAACUCCACUUGGUAAUAAUAUGUUAUCCAGAUUAGGUUUAAAUAAUUUGGUUUUUUCUUCUUACCACAAACAAAAGAAAAAAAAAAGAAAAUGUAAUACUGUUGCUAUUAUUUACUACGUGUAGAAAGGAAAACGCGAUAAUUAGAUUUAAAAAAUAAAAUAAAAAUACUAGUCUCUCAGACUUAACUUUGACCACAGGUGGCCCAAAAAAUUAGGACUCCCCUAAGCUUACCAAUAAAUUGUCCCCAACGGUCAUGGACUUUUAAACAAACUUUCCCCACUAUAAUCACUACUCUCUCAUCUCUGUUUUUAAAACAUAAUAAAUUUUACUCCCUCCGUGCCAUGAUAAAAAUCUUUAUUACUAUUUUAAGUAGUCCCAUGUUAAAUGUUCACUUUCCUUUAAUAACUAAAUUUUUACACAUUUUUUCCUAUUAUACAUUAAAUAUUUCAUACUUUUCUUAUUCUAAUUCUCUCUCCUAUUUAAUAAGUAUGGAGAGAGAAUAUUUUGAAUUGAAUAGCUAGAAAGUCACUCUCUCACCUACAUUGAAAAUAAUUAAUAACAUAUUAUUAUGGGUAAUUUUGUCAUUUCAUUCCUCUUCUUAAUAUGCGUGAAAAGUCCACCAGGACUUUUAUCCUGGGACGGAGGGAGUAUAAGAUAUUGAACUCUUAUUUAUUUACUUACAAGUCUUGUGUUCAAGCCUCAUAACCCAUAAGUAGUAACAUUUUGCUUUUAAAAAAAAUAAGUCGCGGGCCACGAGUCGGGCCGGGCCAAAUACAGGUCAAGCCAAAAUGGCCCGCAUUUUUCUGGGCUAAAAUAUUGCGCCCAUGGCCCAUGUUUCUACGGGCGGGGCGGGCCUGGGCCUAAAUUACCAGGUCUAGUUCUGAUGGUGAAUAUGGGUUUAGAAUUGAGAUUGAUUUAGAAGUCCAAAUUUGUAAAUAGCAUAAAUCCAAUGGGCAAAGGUGCAAAAAUGCCCCUGAUAUUUACACGGAUGUCCCACUUCCACCCUAAACUAUUUUUCUUUCCAAAAGUACCCUUAACGUUUCAAAGAGUAGACCACCCAUGCCCUUGCUGUCAACAGACCUGCCACCUGGACUAACGUUGUUUACACGUUGAUCAUUUUUGCUGAUUUGGCACUCAGUUAGAGAGAGACAGAACGGAAUAAGUCGUGAUUUUCAAAAGGGGCAAAAAAGCCCUAAUCACUUUCACUCUACAGACAGACGAAAUCGAAAAGGAGAAGAAGACGGGAGAAGCUUGAAGACCAGUUUGGCGAGAAGAAGGUGGAGCCCAGUUCUGCAAGAAGAAAAUCGUCAUGGCUAACUAUUCGUCGUCAUCUUCAUCAUCUGCUCGAAGACAUGCCAUUGAUGUUGAUUAUGAAGCUAUGCCACUGUGUUAUUGUGGGUUAAGGGCUCCUCUGUGGACCUCAUAGAGUGAAACAAAUCCUGGUAGGAGGUUUUUCUCAUGCUCGAAAUUCAGAGUAAGUUCUUAUAAAUUUACUUUGAUUUUGUGUUUGAAACAAUUCCUAGCAGCUAGUAUGCUUGGAAAUAUUAUACUAAUAACAGUUGAAUAAUGCUUAAUAUUUUGGAUUCAGGAAAGGGGAUGCGGGUUCUUUGUAUGGCAUGACCCACAGAUGUGUGAGAGGGCAAAAGUUGUCAUAAAUGAUCUGAAGAGGGAUAACAAAAUUUUAUUGAAUAAGGAACUGAAUAAAUGUUCCCAGGUUGAAAUGGCAUCUGAAUGGCCAUCUGAAUUAUCUGAAUUGAAAGAAUUGGUUCAUGAGUUGAAGAAGUUGAAGUCAAAUGGAGAUGAAGUUUCUGUGAAACAAAUUAAAGAAGUAGACUAUUUGAACAUGAAGUGCAUUGGUGUGUUAUUGUUAGUUAUAUUCAUCUGCAUUUCUGUAAUGCUACUUAGUUAGAUAAAUGGUUAAAUGAAUUAGUAGUGUUGUGAAUUGUAAUGUACUGCAGUUGAAAUAUGCAGUUAACUUAAUGUAAUUGGUGAAAAUGGUUAAUGGAAGUCAGUGUUUUGUAAGCAAUCCUUGUUUGAGUAGUUGUUUAGUGAGUUAUGCAAGUUUAAUAUGUGUUUUGAGGAUGCUUUGUGACUUGUAAUUUUUAUUUUACCUGAAUGUCAAAGAAUUGAUCCAUGAACUUGGUUAAUGGAAGUCUUAUUUGUGUGUAUAAUUGUGUGACAUAUGAUUAGUGCCAAUGAGUUGAGCACUUGUUACUCAAUGUAAUUUUAUUAACUUAAUCUGAUUGUCAAUGAGUUGAGCAAGUUUAGAAUAAUGAACAAAAUAAUGAACAAAAAGGCUGUGCCAAAUUAUAUUGCCAACAUAUAGGCUUGAGAAGCAUGUUCAUUACAUUUCUGCAAACUGAGCAUAAACACUUCAAUAUUGUCCAAACUAUACUCCCAAAAUGAAAAGCUCAGUUACUCCCAAAAUGAAAAGUUCAGUUCCAAAACCAUAACUGAAAGAAGUACAAUUACUAAGUAGGCUCUAAUUACAUAAUCACUUAGAAGUUUAGUUUUCUGCACUACAAUUGGGUGGAAUUCCUUGUGACUUGCUUGCAUUGCUGCUCAUACCAAUCCUUUCAUCCUUAUCUGCCAACAGGCGUGUGGUAGUGAUGCAGCUUCGACCCAUCCAUUGCAGUCCUUGAGGUCUGUAGGUCAUGUUGGACAUGUUUACAGGGUCACCAUCACUUCUAUGGUUUAUUUUUCUAUUGCCAAUUGCAGAGGAUGCUUUGUUUUUCGCUUUGUCUACUCUUAGUUGAGCUUCAUUAUGGAUUGAAAAUUUGGUGUUGGGGUGAACCAAAGGUGACUGUGUCUGACUGCCUUCAUUGACAACAGUUGAUGAUGUGCCACUCUGCAUGUACAUAGACUACAUUAAGACUGAGCUAAGAAGCUUACACAUGAAUGUCAUAACUGAAGCAUGUAAUUUUGUUGUUAAAAAGCUUACCUUGAAUGUCAUUGAACCAGUUUUGUCAUCAUAUAACAACCCAAAACCUUCACCAUGGUUGGAUUGCUUCCUAGCAUGAGCUCUUACAGCAGAUCAAACUUGUAAUUUUGACUGCCUUGGUCUUGAAGUAGGAGGUGCAGUCAUGGUUGAACUUGUAUUAAGCCCUACAAAAUGCAAAAGUAUCAAAUAUUUGCCCAGGCAACAUGUGCAACUACUAGCAGUAUCACAAAAUGCAACUCACAGUCACAGCUCAUACAAACUGUUUAAACUCUUUGAUAGAAACUCUUUAAAAUACAUGUUUCAGCUUGGCUUGGAGUUGAGAUUGAUGUGCCACCUUGUGCUUGAGUUUGCACUGAAGAUUCAGUUUGGGAUUGAGGUGGGACUGAACUACCAGUUUGUGAUUGGCUUGCAUUGCUAGGCUUACAUUUCCUUUUCCUUACAUUUCUUUCUCCUAGGCUUUGAUUCUGAUUUAAGGCAAAGUGUCAAUAUAUAUACACUAUAUUGUAAAACACAUAAUUAAAUAAUUGAAUUACCUUUGAACAGCUACCUUUGUUGUGUCCUGGUUACUUACAUAGACUGCAUGUGAUGACUUUGCCUUUUUUGGAUAGCUUUAUGACUUUGUUUGUAGGUCUGGACUCAGUUUCCUCUCUUUUUCUCUUAAUCUUAGGCCUUCCCCUGUUUUUCUCAACCUUUGGUGCCUCGAUAGGUUGAUAUUUGUCCAUUUCAUUGAAUCUUUUCCCUCUCACUGGCAUAAUUUUGUACUGAUAAGCAGUUUGGUAUACAUCUUUAUGAUACAUCUUUGAAAUAUGAUUCAUAGGGUCCUGUUUGUUGUGGACUAGAGCACAUAUAGCAUGUUGGCAAGGGAUUCCAGUGAGAUCCCAUGCCCUACAUGUACAAGAAUUCUUGUCCAAAAACACAGUGUGUGUGUCCUCACCCUCCCUAAUUUCAUAACCAGUGUCUCCAUUAAAGAGAACAGUGCAUCCAACUGCUAUGCUUCUAUUUGUCUGAAAAAUGUCAUUGCAGUAAGGGCUAAAACAAUUUAUCCACUUCUCACAUGCUGACCCAAGAGUUCCCAACCUGUCCAUGGUUUUUGCCUAAUAUAUUCCAUCAUAGUCCUAAUGGGCUUUUGCCUAGCUUCAAGAAUUCAAGAAUUGAAACUUUCUACCAUGUUGUUAUCUACUGCCCAGGAUUUACUUCUGCUACUAAAGUAAGCUCUGCACCAUGUAUGAGGUGGAUAAUUCAUGAGAUCAAUUGCUCCCUUUGAACUCAUGUCCCCAAGCAACUUCAUGUUGUCCUUAAAUUCUUCCUCAAAGGUAGACCAUGCUGCAUUCCAAAAUCUCUUCUUCAACUCUCCACCUCUGUGUUUCUUACACCAAUUUGUAUAUAUAUGACGAGCACACCACCUGUGUUCAGCCUCAGGGAGUACCUCAAUAACAGCCUGUAUUAAACCCUACAAGCAAAAGUUGCACAAAGUUACAAAUAAUAUGACAUAAAAAACAUUAACUAUUAAAAUUCCAAAACAUUCAUACCUUUUGCAUAUCAGAUAUAAUGGUGUACUGACUGCCAUCUCCCAAACCAAGUUGUUCUUGCAACAAAGUCAGAAACCAGGUCCAGUUGACCUUAGUUUCACUCUUCACACAUGCCCAAGCUAUGGGAAAAUUCUGCUCAUCCCCAUCUCUUCCUAGUGCAACAAGCAAUUCCCCCUUAUACCGUGUCUUCAAAAAACACCCAUCAAGGCCAAUGAUAGGCCUACAUCCUUCCUUUCAACCUCUCUAGCAAGUAUCUAAACAAACAAACAUUCUUCUAAAUACUCUUCUCCCUUCCCUUGAUUCAUCUGUGGACAACUCCACUUGUGCUUUAGACCCUGGAUUACUCCUCACCAGUUCAGCUGCAUAAGUCUCUAACUCAGAAUACUCAGUAGUAAAGCUCCCUGAGAAUUCAUCCAUAACCAUCCUCCUGGCUCUCUUGCACUUGGAAAAUCCAACAUUCACUCUCCAUUCUUUCUCCACAUCUUUUUUGAGGUCUUUAAUCUUGUAGUUAUUUUGCUCAAGUAUUUUUUGUUUGUAGAGCUUGGCCAAGAACUUUGCUGAAACCCUAGGGUUGCUGAAAAUCCUAUAACAACUGUGCAAUUCAUUUAAUGUCUUGACAGCUAACCCAGGGUUACAACCGUCUUUUGAAACAUACAAGACAAAAGGACACCCAGCCUCACAUUGGACCCUUAUUCUAUAUGGUUCACUUUUCACAUAUUUCAAUGCCACUCCCCUAGAUAUAGCAUACUUUGAUAUCGAUUCCCUAACUUCAGCUGCACUAAAAAAUGUCAUUCCCAAGCUGAAAUAGGGUGUCUGGUCAUUUACAUUGAAAUGGAUAGGAUGUCUUCUCUCACAUGGAACCUGACCCUCAUUCCCUUCUUUAGUAUCAUCAGUGUCAUCACUAUCAUCUUCUUCAUCAGUACCAUCAUCUUCCUCACUAUCUUCACUCUCCUCUAUAUAUGUAGCAUCUUGACUGUCCUCACUACUAUCUUCCUCACCAACCCUGCUACCUUGUGUGUUUAAUGGCACAUUAGGAUCAUCCCUUCUUUCAUGUGCUCUAUUAAUGCUAUCAAAAGCAUUAAGUACUUCAUCACUUUCCAUGAAAGGGUCAUCACAAACAGGAGGAACAUCAGGAGGUGAUUCAUCAUUCAAUAUAGGGUCAUCUAUCCCAUGUUUUGCAAAGAAAUCUAGGACAGUUGUGUCUGACUUUAUUUUACUCAAGAGUCUCCUAAUCCCAUGGUCACCAUCAAGUAUAAAAAGUCCAUCUUCAAUACUCAGUCCAGGUUCCAGAUAAUAUAUUUCUGAUAUAUUGGCAUAAUUCAGUUCCUCUUUAUAUGUAUUCUUAAUGCAAAUAUCAGACAAGUAAUCAACAUCAAAAUUCUUACAUAUGUAAACAUCUCCUCCCACAUAUCUCCAAACAGAAUCCUUUAUACAUAUGCCCCCAUGAUGUAAAUGUACAUCUAAACGCCCAACCAUUCUGUCAGUAAAAGAAAAACCCAGAUUUCACAUAACAAUAAACAAUAAAGAGACAAAUUUAAAGUACAAAGUAUUAAUAAUCUAUAAAGAAUAAUAUAAGGGACCACAUGUCCCAUACCAGUCAACACCCAACUUAAACAUGGACCACGUGAUGUUCCCUACCACAUGCACUUUAUUAAUCAAAAUCGUGUCUGAACGUACCUGAGAGAUUCUUUUUCUUUUUCUUAAAAGCACAAACAGAGAAAUGACUGAUUCCUUUUCGUGGUAGGGACUGAUUCCUUUUCGUGGUAGGGACAGAUAAAUGACUCGCCUUCUUCUCGCCGAACUUCUUCGAUCACACUGGGCUUCACCUUCUUCGCGAUCAACAUUGGGCUUCACCUUCUUCUCGCGUCUUCUUCUCGCGUCUUCUUCUCGCGUCUUCUUCUCCUUUUUGAUCGAAGCCUCUCUCUUUGAAGAAACCGAUUAGGGCUUUUUUGCCCCUUUUUGGAUCAACACGUUUGUUUUGUUCUUUUGACCCGUGACGUUUCAAUUUGUUCUCUCUCUCUAAUUGAGUGCCAAAUAAGCAAAAAUGAUCAACGUGUAAACAGCGUUAGUCUAGGUGGCAGGUCUGUUGACAGCAAGGGCAUGGGUGGUCUACUCUUUGAAACGUUAAGGGUAAUUUUGGAAAAAAAAAUAGUUUAGAGUGAAAAUAAAACAUCCGUGUAAACAUCAGAGACAUUUUUGCACCUUUGCCCUAAAUCCGAUACCAAGGCUAUCCAUGAGAUUUUUAAAACAAACUUAAGAAUUCCGUACAAUCAAAUGUCGGGCACACACUAAAACACGCUCAAUACACGGUCAGUUUUUUUUCGAUCUUAUCUCUUUCGACAAAUUCUAUCCAACUUUCUUGCAAAUAGCUCAAUCAUCUUCUUCCCCACAACGUUUAGGGCUUGAUUUCAUCACCUGGUUCUCCUGUUUAUCUUCGUUACUUCUUUGUCCUGAUACGUUUCUUCUUCAAACAUUUUGUUGAUAUUUGUGGUGAUUGGUUUUUAUGAACGAUUUGUGGUUGUUUAAUUUCUCUGUAAAUUUGUUUUUGGUACCAUAAGGGUUUAUUGUUAAUUUAGUGCAAUUUUGUUUAAUUACUUCUGAUCUAGGGUUGUUUUGUGAUUUUGGUUAAUUGAUACUAGAGUAAUACUAAGCAAUUUUUGUUUGAUUUUUUCAGUGGCCGGCAACAGAUUUCUUGACAGAGAUGGGGGUGUUUCAGGUAUGAGAUCUUUUCUCUUGAUUACCUUUUUAAGUUCAUAUAUAUGUUUGAGUAUUUUGGAGAGCUCAUUGCUGAAACAGUAUGUCUAUAUGCACAACUUCAAGCAGCUCUAGUAUUGCUUUUGUUCUAUAAUAUAACACAAUUUAUUCUAUGAUCCAUUUGUUCAAUGUACUGAAAUUCUUCUUCUGAAAAUAAACAAAUAGACUUUCUUAAAGGAAAUGGAACAAUAAUGCAUCACUAUUUGUUGAAGUUUUGAGUUUUGACACCAUUGUUGCUUUGCCAGGCAGCAUAGGAUGGUAAUGACAGUGUUCUAACCAAAUUUACAUGAGGUUGUUGAAUAACAUGAAGGGGUGGAUUACUGAUUUAUAUAUCUACAAGAAAAGGGUUAUACAACAAGAAAGCGUAAACACAAAUUUCUUGCUUUUUCACAUGUCAAUAUUUAACGGUAUUGCCUUGGUAUGAUGCCUAUUCAAAGCAAAGUUAUGCUGCACUUGCAAUUCUUCCAUCUUGGAAAGUUGUUUGUGUUUUUCAUUUUGUUUUCAGCCACCUCCCACUCCCACUCCACCCUCAAUUACUUUUUCAUUAAGUUGCUCACGUGAGUUGAAAAGAGUACCGACUCUAUUCUUUUCAUUUUUGGUCUUUAUCCGGUUGUCAUGCAUCCUUAUAUUUCCUUUUAUAAACAUCAGUAUCAGUUAGGCUCAUGUCUGUCACAGUUUUUUGGUGCCCAGGUAUCAUGGUUCACCCGUUUUCUACUUGCUUUAGUUCAUAUGACAUCCUUUUAUGGGUAAUAAUAGUAGGAGUCUUUACCAUUUCUAUUUUAUGUUGCUGGACUCGAACUAUUAAUUGUUACUCCUCUUUCAGGCUAUGUUUUUAUCAUGGAAAUAUUUUUAGCAUUUGUAAUUUUUUGGAAAUACAUCUUGUAGUCCCAUCACAUGUGUUGUGGCUUGAUUAUGCUAUUUAUGAAUCAACCAAUGAUCUCUUUUGGAGAGAGCUGUUUGCAUUAUUUGUUGUUUAUUUGCUGGGUUUUAUUGUAAGAGUGUUGGCUGAGUAGGUUGGGUGACAAAUAAUGCAUCACUAUUUGUUGAAGCAAAAUGAUACAAGAAAAAGUUUGAUGAUUUGCAUAAUGCUUUCUUAAAGCAAAUGGAACAGUAAGCAUUAGAGUCUGACAUAUUUAGGAGUAGGGUGCAUGAGUCUCUAAAGUAAUGUAUAACCCUCUUUUUUAUUCUAGUAUUUUUUUUUGCAUUUGGGUUAAUUGCAGGAGGAAGAUUCAUAAAUAUUUAGUGGACCUGGAAAAGCUUCAAGUAAAGCUGGCAGAUGAAAGUCUACUUGAGGCUUGUGACCUUAAAAGGAGCUUAAAACUGGUGACACUGUUUGAAGCACAAUUGAAAGUAAUGAAUCUGAAUCUCGAUUCCAUCUCAAAGUAUGCAUUCUGUAUACACAAAGAAAGUAAUGAAUUUAAAUCUCGAGUCCAUCUCAAAGUAUGCAUUUUGUAUACACAUAAAGUAGGACACUUGGUGUAUUUUUCACUAUUUCACUUUGCUAAGGGCACUCAGUAUGACAAAUAUCAAAAGAAAGUAAUCCAUUAGCAUGAUAAUGUAAAAAGGUAAAUGAAUUGAGAAAGAGAGGGCAACGGUUCCCUUCUCUUAGAAUCUGAUUCAUCUCAUAUAUUUGCACAAUUAUUUGUUGAUUUUAACCAAUUAGUUUGGGUUAGAUGAGUUCAUGGUUGGAUUUAUGAUGAAUUGAGAAAGAAAGACAUUAAUGUUUUCAUCUUUUUCUUCAGACUAUGUAGCUGCUUUUUGACUGAGAUUUUGUAUGUUAUUUCCUUCUUGAUUUCAGAACUUUUCAUCUUUGUUGUGUUUUUUUCUUCUAAGAGUCGAGCCGGCGAAUAAAAGUGAAGGGGCCACAGCCUUGAGAACCAUUUUAGUACCAACAAUGAGUCUUUGCUGACCAGACGUGAUUAUAGUCCACGGAUUCCAGUCAUUAUUUACUUCAGAAAAGUCUAUUGUCCUCUCAACUUUCUCUUUGAUAAUGUAAUGCAAGUCUACAAUUGAUAAACUAUAUUUUUAUAAUUUUGGAUAGUAAAUCAAAAUCGCUCAAUUAAUAUAUAAUACUGAGUAGUAUAAUUGUUUUAAAAAUGAAAGUAAUCUGACACUUUUUUACCGUUUGAUGAAAAUGUAAAUUUUUUAUCAAAAUUUCAAUGAUUGAGAAUUCUUUUAAACUUUUCACGGUAAUUUUUUUUUAAUGACUCGAAUUUUUGGUAGAAUUGAUCUUAAUAUAAUCAACCAUCUAUUAAUAUGUUUGGAUCAUUACUAGCAAAAUUAUUAAGAUCAAAUAAUUGGUGUAUUGGAUAGAAUUGGAGGAAAUGUGUAAUGGAGGGGAUCCAAUUCCACAAUUGUGUGUUCAUGGUGCAGGCAUUUUGCUAAAUGUUAAUAUUUUUUAUUCUUUAUUUCUGCUAAUGACAUGUUAUGUAUGGGUUAUUGUCAUUAUACUCCUAUUAUUUUAAACUUUUAAAGUGAUUUUCGUAAUUAAUGAAUUGUCUUAAUCUAGAUAUGCUGCUAGUAUUUGGCCAGUCUUGAUGAAAAGCUACUAGUAAUCCUUCUUUUAACUAAUCAGUUGACUAGUUCUCAUGCAAGGUUUUAAAAACCGGACCGGCCGACGGUCGGACCGGUAAGAACCGGAAUCGGUCCGCCUUCCGGUCCGGUUUGGCCAAGAAAAUCGGUUUUGGUCAAAAUCCGAUUUGACCCGUUGACCAUCGGUUCAACCGGUGGUCCAACCGGUAAACCCGGUUAAUUGACCCAGUUGACCCAAUUUUUAAUUUUAUUUUUUCUUACCAAAAAAAAUUUAAUAUUAAAAUUAAUCACUUUUAUUAAUAUUGUAACUCAUCUUUAUUAUGUUUUAGUUCAUAAAAAACGAGAUUUUUUAAAAUUUUAUUAAUUACUAAUAAUAUAUAUUUUAUAUAUAAAUGACGUCACCGGUUAAAUAACGGUCCAACCAUUGGUUGGACCAAUGACCCAUCCACCCGGCACCCUUUUCGGUUCGAUGAUCGGUCCGGGUUUGAGAACAUUGUUCUCAUGAUUAGAAGAGUUAAUUGCACUUUAGGAUCUCCAAGUUCCACCCGUGUUACAAUUGGGUUUCCAAAAUAAAAAUCCUCUCAAUAUAGACCCAAAAGUAUAUUUAAGUAUGCGUGAUGGAUCUUAAUUAGUAAUUCGACGAAUUUUUUGGAUGGAAGACGGUCAAACAUACGGUUUGACCGUAUUUGACUUAUUAAAUCCGUAUAAAUAUAUAUUAAAUCUGUUAAUAACAUUAUUUAUUCCUUCGUAUAUGAGAUUCAUUUUUGAUAAUUUGUUUUAAUGAUAACUAAUUUGAUUGAUUUAAUAAUGGUCAGUUAGGUUCAUCAGAUUAUUAUCAUCUGCUAGAUUCAGGGAUGAUAUUACGUGUAAUUGAUAUUAUUCCUAAUUACUUGUAGUGAAUAGUAAUAUGUGAUUGAGUUGGAGCCUUUUGUGUAUUGUUGUGGUUAUCAGAAGACAAGUUAAACAGUCUGAGCUUGUGUGAUUGCUGUUUGGAAUAAUCUAAUUNNNNNNNNNNNNNNNNNNNNNNNNNNNNNNNNNNNNNNNNNNNNNNNNNNNNNNNNNNNNNNNNNNNNNNNNNNNNNNNNNNNNNNNNNNNNNNNNNNNNNNNNNNNNNNNNNNNNNNNNNNNNNNNNNNNNNNNNNNNNNNNNNNNNNNNNNNNNNNNNNNNNNNNNNNNNNNNNNNNNNNNNNNNNNNNNNNNNNNNNNNNNNNNNNNNNNNNNNNNNNNNNNNNNNNNNNNNNNNNNNNNNNNNNNNNNNNNNNNNNNNNNNNNNNNNNNNNNNNNNNNNNNNNNNNNNNNNNNNNNNNNNNNNNNNNNNNNNNNNNNNNNNNNNNNNNNNNNNNNNNNNNNNNNNNNNNNNNNNNNNNNNNNNNNNNNNNNNNNNNNNNNNNNNNNNNNNNNNNNNNNNNNNNNNNNNNNNNNNNNNNNNNNNNNNNNNNNNNNNNNNNNNNNNNNNNNNNNNNNNNNNNNNNNNNNNNNNNNNNNNNNNNNNNNNNNNNNNNNNNNNNNNNNNNNNNNNNNNNNNNNNNNNNNNNNNNNNNNNNNNNNNNNNNNNNNNNNNNNNNNNNNNNNNNNNNNNNNNNNNNNNNNNNNNNNNNNNNNNNNNNNNNNNNNNNNNNNNNNNNNNNNNNNNNNNNNNNNNNNNNNNNNNNNNNNNNNNNNNNNNNNNNNNNNNNNNNNNNNNNNNNNNNNNNNNNNNNNNNNNNNNNNNNNNNNNNNNNNNNNNNNNNNNNNNNNNNNNNNNNNNNNNNNNNNNNNNNNNNNNNNNNNNNNNNNNNNNNNNNNNNNNNNNNNNNNNNNNNNNNNNNNNNNNNNNNNNNNNNNNNNNNNNNNNNNNNNNNNNNNNNNNNNNNNNNNNNNNNNNNNNNNNNNNNNNNNNNNNNNNNNNNNNNNNNNNNNNNNNNNNNNNNNNNNNNNNNNNNNNNNNNNNNNNNNNNNNNNNNNNNNNNNNNNNNNNNNNNNNNNNNNNNNNNNNNNNNNNNNNNNNNNNNNNNNNNNNNNNNNNNNNNNNNNNNNNNNNNNNNNNNNNNNNNNNNNNNNNNNNNNNNNNNNNNNNNNNNNNNNNNNNNNNNNNNNNNNNNNNNNNNNNNNNNNNNNNNNNNNNNNNNNNNNNNNNNNNNNNNNNNNNNNNNNNNNNNNNNNNNNNNNNNNNNNNNNNNNNNNNNNNNNNNNNNNNNNNNNNNNNNNNNNNNNNNNNNNNNNNNNNNNNNNNNNNNNNNNNNNNNNNNNNNNNNNNNNNNNNNNNNNNNNNNNNNNNNNNNNNNNNNNNNNNNNNNNNNNNNNNNNNNNNNNNNNNNNNNNNNNNNNNNNNNNNNNNNNNNNNNNNNNNNNNNNNNNNNNNNNNNNNNNNNNNNNNNNNNNNNNNNNNNNNNNNNNNNNNNNNNNNNNNNNNNNNNNNNNNNNNNNNNNNNNNNNNNNNNNNNNNNNNNNNNNNNNNNNNNNNNNNNNNNNNNNNNNNNNNNNNNNNNNNNNNNNNNNNNNNNNNNNNNNNNNNNNNNNNNNNNNNNNNNNNNNNNNNNNNNNNNNNNNNNNNNNNNNNNNNNNNNNNNNNNNNNNNNNNNNNNNNNNNNNNNNNNNNNNNNNNNNNNNNNNNNNNNNNNNNNNNNNNNNNNNNNNNNNNNNNNNNNNNNNNNNNNNNNNNNNNNNNNNNNNNNNNNNNNNNNNNNNNNNNNNNNNNNNNNNNNNNNNNNNNNNNNNNNNNNNNNNNNNNNNNNNNNNNNNNNNNNNNNNNNNNNNNNNNNNNNNNNNNNNNNNNNNNNNNNNNNNNNNNNNNNNNNNNNNNNNNNNNNNNNNNNNNNNNNNNNNNNNNNNNNNNNNNNNNNNNNNNNNNNNNNNNNNNNNNNNNNNNNNNNNNNNNNNNNNNNNNNNNNNNNNNNNNNNNNNNNNNNNNNNNNNNNNNNNNNNNNNNNNNNNNNNNNNNNNNNNNNNNNNNNNNNNNNNNNNNNNNNNNNNNNNNNNNNNNNNNNNNNNNNNNNNNNNNNNNNNNNNNNNNNNNNNNNNNNNNNNNNNNNNNNNNNNNNNNNNNNNNNNNNNNNNNNNNNNNNNNNNNNNNNNNNNNNNNNNNNNNNNNNNNNNNNNNNNNNNNNNNNNNNNNNNNNNNNNNNNNNNNNNNNNNNNNNNNNNNNNNNNNNNNNNNNNNNNNNNNNNNNNNNNNNNNNNNNNNNNNNNNNNNNNNNNNNNNNNNNNNNNNNNNNNNNNNNNNNNNNNNNNNNNNNNNNNNNNNNNNNNNNNNNNNNNNNNNNNNNNNNNNNNNNNNNNNNNNNNNNNNNNNNNNNNNNNNNNNNNNNNNNNNNNNNNNNNNNNNNNNNNNNNNNNNNNNNNNNNNNNNNNNNNNNNNNNNNNNNNNNNNNNNNNNNNNNNNNNNNNNNNNNNNNNNNNNNNNNNNNNNNNNNNNNNNNNNNNNNNNNNNNNNNNNNNNNNNNNNNNNNNNNNNNNNNNNNNNNNNNNNNNNNNNNNNNNNNNNNNNNNNNNNNNNNNNNNNNNNNNNNNNNNNNNNNNNNNNNNNNNNNNNNNNNNNNNNNNNNNNNNNNNNNNNNNNNNNNNNNNNNNNNNNNNNNNNNNNNNNNNNNNNNNNNNNNNNNNNNNNNNNNNNNNNNNNNNNNNNNNNNNNNNNNNNNNNNNNNNNNNNNNNNNNNNNNNNNNNNNNNNNNNNNNNNNNNNNNNNNNNNNNNNNNNNNNNNNNNNNNNNNNNNNNNNNNNNNNNNNNNNNNNNNNNNNNNNNNNNNNNNNNNNNNNNNNNNNNNNNNNNNUUUAUUGAUUUCUAUUAUUAAUACUGAAGUUUCACUUUAUUGGUUUUUAUUAUUAGUUCAGAGUUAUUUUAAUUAAUUAUAAUCAGAAUUCCAAAACCCCCUUUGUAAUUAUUAUUUCGUAGAGUAGAUAAGAGCAAUAACUCUCCCUGUGGAUUUGACCCUUACUGCUCCUAUACUGUGCUUAUUUUCCAUUCGUAGAGUGAAGUGAAGUUCUAUCUUUUCGGAGUGUUAACAAAUCUGACACCUUGCUUCCUUACUAAAUAACUAUAUAGAGAGACCACAGGGAAGUGUUUUGAAUUUUAUUCUAGUGGACUAUGCAUAUAAAUUUGAAUUAUUUGAUUUCUUAGUGAUUAGACAAAAGGGACUUGUUGAUUCGUUUAGUUUUGUGUUUAAUUCAGGAAUUCAAGUGUAUGAGUUUAUGUGACGCGAUGAGUUUCAAAAGUUGACAUUCGACCCAGGAUCGAUGAAGUGGUUAUGUUUGUGAAUGAUCGAGAUCAUAAGAUUCCUAUUUGAUCCGGGAAUUCGUAAAUGGGAGUUUUUGCUACAUGCAGAGUUCUAUGUGCUGAUAUUUGAUCCAGGAGGAUAUGAGACUUUUCAUAGUUUUAUUUGCAUUUGUUUUACUACAUAUGCAUUUAUUUUGUUAGGUAGUAAAUUUGUUUGCAUUUUAGCUAUAGUUAAUUUAGUUUGUUUAGUUGUGGUUAAUAUUUUGGAAGUAUUUGGUUUACGCGUGGGAGAGCAUCGUGUUGGUGUGGACAGAUUCUUGAGUAACGGAGGUCAAAAGUUUAAGUUUCCAGGUUUUGUUACGAGUAUCUUGCAGGGUGCUACGCCACUUCAAGCAUCGCUUGGAAGGAAACAUUUACGAGAAGUUCUUGUUCAUACUGUGAUCUUUACGGGAGUUGAAGUUUUUGUUGAUUCUUCUUAUAUUCUUACUUGCAUUGCGAAUAGUGUUUAUAUAUUGCUUGUGAUAGGUGAGACUUAUGUUUAUGAUUCAUUUGAUGCUACUAACUUAGUUUGUUUGUAUGUAGGAUCAGAUUUGUGGAAUCCUUUUCAAGAUGAAGGGAUGUCAGAUUUGAGGACAAAUCUUUUUCAAGAUGAGGGGAAUGAUGAGAUCCUGACCAGGCUCGCAUCGAACGACGAUAACUUAACUCGAGUUCAAGAGGUUCAACAGAUGAUUUCAAGUAAUUGGGCCAACAUCUAUCCAAAGACAUUUAUUUUGGAGCUCAGUUCAAGUGAACCGCGGGAGAGGAACAAUCAUAUGAUUUGGGAUUGCUAGAUACAAUCUAUAUAGUGAGACCAAAUCAAUGCAAGUCAAGUCAUCAAGCCUGUGUUCAUUUGUGGCGUUUAAACCUCAACAAAUAUAUGAUUCUAUUCGAGGAUGGAUUAGCGUUCACGCGACAUUGUGGAUGUCCAAGCAAGACAAGGAGGUUGCAAAUUAUCACACGACAUCAUGAAGUUGCAAUGCACGGAACGAGGGAAGAAUCACAUUUGAGAUUUAAAAACAACAAGAAAACAAGUUUGGACAACCGGCACUGCCGCGCCAGAAAUAAGCCUUCUAGCGGCGCUGUCGCGCCAGCAUGCAGAAUAAACUCUGGACUACCAGCGUUGCCACGCCUGAAAUGGCCUACAAUCCGGCACUGUUGCGCUGUAACAAGAACGCAGAAGAUCCCUAGAGUAGCAACGCUGCCAUGUCAUUACCAUUUCAAAAUACGGUGCUGCCGCGCCGUGCACAAAAAAUUGAGGACACGUUUUUACGCGUUUUCAGCAAAUUACUUCCAUAUUUUUAAAGAUUUUAUCAGAUCUUUUCCAAUUCUAAUGUAAUUAGGAUGUUUGUUAGAUAGAUUUGAUUCCAAAUAGCUUGUUAAUUAGUAAUUCUAUUUCUUAUAGGAAUUAGGGGUUUAUUCUAUUAGUAUAAAUAAAAUACAUAGCUGAUGUAAUAGUUAGUUUUCAGAUUAUUAAUAAAAUUGUGAGAUUAUUCUCUUCUUCUUGGGUUCUUUGAGAACUCUCGAAUAUUUCAUGGUUUGUCUAUGAAUGUUCAUUUAUCGACUUCUCAUACAACAAUUCAUAGUUGUGUGUUGGCUUCAUCUACCAUACAUCAAACAUCGAUUGUACUUUUUGUUCUUGUCUCUUUAUAGACAUUAGGUCAAGAUGUCGUUGGUGUUCCAUUCAACGCAAGUUUCCUAGUUAUACUAAGAUUAGGGAUUAAGGUGUUGUGAGCGUUCCACCUUCAUAACUUGUUGGAAACGAUUCGGGCGACUACCACCUCAUGUAAGCAUGUUGUAGAGUCUAUCAUGGGGGGUUGAAUAAGUGUAGGAGCAAACGAUAUCAAAUUUUUAUUUAGAUUUAGAAACUUCCUUUUUGGAAAUGCAGGAUGUUGUAUUUAAUAAUUCAGCUUGCUGGAUUAACAAUGCAGUAUGCUAUAUCACGAAUUCAAUUUGCUGAAUUGACAAACUCAACAGAUUAUUCAAGGAGCAGUUUGUUUAUAAGUAUUUAUGACUUAAACUGAUUAUUAUUUUAGUUGAGUUAAUUAAUAUAUAAAUCAUAUUUUUAAUUCAAAUUUAAAGUUCUAGGUGAUCAAAUAAAAUGAAUGCAAUCAAUCACGAGAACACCGAGAAUUUUUACGUGGUUCGACCCCUAUCCUCUAUUCUAGUGGCCUAAUCCACGUCCAAUACAAACUAGUAUUGGAGACUCUUUAUUAAUUCACUUGAACUACAAUUCAACAGUUUUACAAAACAAGUUUAUCAAAAACUUAAACUACUUGAGCACUUUUGCUCUAUGUGCACCUAUGCACACCUAAGCACUCAUGCUUCCUUGAACCUAUUUGUAAAUUCACUCUAAUCCAAAUCGGAUUAGAACUCUCUAGACUAAGAAUUAGUCUAUCUAAAAAUAACAAAAUUACAAAUAAACAUUUACUAUGAUCAAAGCAAUUAAUCAAUUCUCAAUGCAAGGCUCAACUUAUGAAUGCAAUUAUCAAAGUAACAGUAAAGAUAUUACCAGUUAAAUCGUACCAAACAAGCUGGGAUUUUAUCAUAGACUUUUUAAUUCACAACAGCUUGAAUAUUCUUCUUACUCACAACACUAAGUAAACAAUACUACAUCUUUGCUUCUUUAAUUUUUAGUGCAGUGAAGUUCAUGUCUUUUACUGACUUAGGACUGCCCUUUUUAUAGGCUUAGGAAUAUUAUUACCGUUACAUACAAUCCCAAUAAAUUAAUUCCUAGUUGUUUGCUAAAGGGUCACGCCUUAAGGCAGAUAUGAAGGCAGGGGAUAAUGUGACGCCCCCAAAUCCCGGGGUCUUCCAAACUGCACCCGAAACUUGGGUCGCCAGAAACAACACCACAAACAAACACAAAUUUUUCUAUUUACAACUAUUGAUACAACGACAGUAUUCACACUUAAAAUAAAUAACACUUCAAAUGUGUUUGGUUCACUAAAAUCGAUUAAUAAAAUAUCGUAUAACAUACGACAUACACGCUUUAAGUUCCCAGUACAAUUAUUGACACACUAUUUUGAUAACUUGAUGAGGACAACCACUAACUUGAAUCAUUAUAGUUACUAACUCGAACCAUCACGCCAUUCCCAUGUUCUCCCUGCUAGACUCGGCUAUACUCUUAUUUCCUGAAAGGAUUUGUGAAGCAAAAGAGUGAGCUCAAAUAGCCCAGUAAGAAAUACCAUGACUAAGAUAAUGAAGAAUAAAUCAUCUUUAGCCUUCAACAGUGAAAAAUCUGAUAGAAUAUAAUAGACAACACGUUUUAAAUCAACAUUUGCAGCGGAAUUAACAAUCAAUUAGGAGAGUAUAAUAUCCAGAUCUAGCUUUCGUCAUCUGUAACACAAAUCAACAGUUCCUGAUCAUAAUUAUGCCGAUCGAAUCAUCUUUGCAUGUAAGCCAAAGAUAUUCAACAUUUAUAUCGUCUUUACACCCUCCACCAAAGAUAUUCAACAGAUCAAAUUAUCUUUGCAAGUAAACCAAAUAUAUUCAACAUCUAUAUCGUUUUUACUUUAAUAAGAAGAUUCAGAGAAAUAAAAGUUUAAGUGAAAUGAUAUUAGAUGAAGCGCAAACCUCAAAGGAAUUUCUAAUCAUUUCAAGAAUUAUAGAAGCAAUACUUAUAAUCAUGUUGAUCAAUUCAUCUUUGCACCAAAACCAAAGACAGUUAAUUAUAACACAUCAAUCAACAGUUCCUCUUUGCACCCAUGGCCAAAGAGAACUUUUAUCACGUAUCAUUGCCUCCAAGGCUAAAGACCCAAAACAAUCAUACUGUCUUUGCACCCAGGCUAAAUAGAACUUUCACCACAAUGAUUAUAAAAAUGAUAUAUAGGAUAAAUAGAAACAAUAAGAUCAAGGAUAAGCAUUAGAGAUUUGCAAUUUAAUUUAUAAUGCUGUAAAACGAAUAAUACUUUCUCAUCGUAAUAUGGAGUAUGAAAGAAAAUGAUAUCACUUAUGAGUAUCAAAGAAUGAUAACCCCUUAUGAGUAUGAAAGAAAAAUGAUAUUUUACGAGUGUUGGGCCAUAAUACUUUAGACAUUAUGGGCUUGGGUCUUGAAAGUAUUGGGUCGGUUCAUUAGGCUGAUCCAUAGGCUGAAUAAUAUCUUUGGCUAGGCUUUGACCGAUAAUCAUUACAUGGAUGAACUUUGACUGUUAUCCUGCAAUGCAUUAAUGAGGAAUUGACAUGGCCUAGUCGGCGGUGAGCUGUGAUGGGAUUAUCCGGUGGUUUGCGUGCAUAUGGCUGACGUGGGAGUGGGUCGGCAACAUGCAAGACAAAGAUGAGUAGUAUAUGAUAGCAGAGGAGAACAUAACAGAGGUAACUGAUACUUUUCUUAUCAAAACACUAGAGCUAAUAACCUCCAUUGUUAUCCUUGUAUCUGCCUGUACUGACUCUCACGCCGGAGCUAUCCCCCGACGGCCCAAGCCGUCAAGCUUCUGGUAUUGACGUGUUUACUGUGCAGGAUUGGGCGCGCUUUUGAGUGAUUAAGGUGCGUGGAAAGAUCUUGGCGUUAACAUUGGCGCUAGAAGGAGUGAUUUCUAGUGUUCUUAAAUUUCAAUCACAAAAAUCGACCGUCUUACGUCGAAAGUUAUGGAAAAAAGUAGGACUGCUAUGGUGGAAGGGCAGCCGAUGGCCACAAGUUCAUCAGCUCAGAGAAUAUUUGUCAAGGAUCGGUUGGGUCCUUCAAAGAGUGCUCAUGAUGGUACUGCUUCCAAGGAUGUUUCAGAAGGAUCUCAUACAAGAGUAUAUGACGAAGCGAAGAGAAGAUUGGUUUUUGCUGCUGACAAAAGACCUGACCAUGGUCGGAAACUAGUAGAAGGCACACUGCCUAGAACCUCAUACCGAGAUGGUCAGACCGAUAGGGUCUCCAAGUUGGCCAAGAUGGCAGAAGAAGCGGAUAAAGCUUUAGAGGUCCUUUUGAAAUAGAGAGAAGAAAUUGCCGAACAUAUGCUCCAUAUAGCGGAAAUGAAGGACGAAACGUCCAGUUACGCUCAGUCCGAAGAACAUAGCAGGUUCACAGAGAGGCUAUUGGAAAGAGGGAAGGAACUUGUACACUCUGGUCGUGUAUCUCAAGGCCGACCACUGGAUCAAAGAAGGUCAAGAAACCAUACUCCUGAGGAACCGAAGAGGGCACUCCACCCUAUCAGUUCUCGGGAUCAUGGUUGAAGCAGACGAAGAAGCAGGUCCAGGGGGCACACACCUGAGAAUACAAAGAAGGUAUUCCGCCUUGGGUAUUCUCACCAUAGUGGCAAAGCUCCUCUCCGAAGUAAGUCUAGAAGUUGUACCCUUGAGAAUCCGACGAGGAUACACUGCCCUGCGGAUAUUCGUCAUCGGGGAAAUCCUUCUAAAGCUGCAGGUUCAGAGGAUAAGGGCCUGUCGACUCAAAGGAGAAAGGAUUCUCCGGAGAAAGAAGUCUCCUCACAACCGGAAGGAGUAGAGUUUUUGGUUAAAGAAUUGAAGGAGCUUCGGAGACAGCUUGCCGAAGUUCAACAAGUAAAAGAUACUUCGGGGAAAAAGGCUUCUCCUUUUUCUUCGAAAAUUCUUAAGGAGAAAGCUGACCCUACCAAAAAGCUUCCUCAUAUUGAAAGUUACGAUGGUUCAGGUGAUCCCUAUGACUAUAGCCAAGCAUUUGAUAGGCUAAUAGAUUAUUAUGAUUUCACCGAUGCGGCUAAGUGUCAGACGUUUGUGACAACUCUCAGGAAGGAUGCCAGGCAGUGGAUGGGAACUCUGCCUUCAGAUUCAAUCUCUACUUGGACGGAUUUAUAUGGUAAAUUACAUGCUCGUUUUGGAAGCAAUAAGAGUAGAGGAAAACCUACGGGUUCGUUAGCUCAGGUUCGACAGUAUUCCAAUGAGUCUUUGGGCCAGUAUGUAAAGCAUUUGAGAGGAGCCGUUGGCCAAGUGUCUGAUCUCAAUGAUCUUCAGGUUGUUGGACUGUUUCAGAAUGGUUUGGACCUGGUUAAGUCAGAAAAGAUGGUGAAGAAGAUGAUGUUCCACCACCCGAAGAGCUUAGCCGAAGCGUUUGAUGAAGCAGAGGGUUAUAUCGUGGUGGAAGAAGCUAUGAUUAGCCUGAGACGUACCACUUUGGACCGGCUGAAGGAGGCAGACAAAGAUAAAGUUGAAGGUGGCCAGAAGAAGAACGGUGAGAAUAAUGAUCGUUCUUAGGGGGGUUCUAAGAGAUAUAGCAGCAACUGACGUCAGGGUGGAGGUCGUCCGCCUGUUCCAGACCAGAAGGUGAACAAGGUCUAUACUCAGUUGAACACGGAUCGGGCCAUCAUUUUGGACCAGAUCAAAGAUCAGCCAUAUUUCGAACCGCCUCGGGACAAUCUUAGACCCGGAUCUGGCAAUUCUGGUAAGUAUUGUGAUUAUCAUCAGACGUCUGGGUAUGCAACCAAUGAAUGUCACAGUUUAAAGGAGUUCAUUGAAAGAAAGGUCCAGAGUGGUACGUUAGUUUAGUACGCAGCUGGAAGAGAGCCUCAACGAGAGCAGCAGAGGGAUAAAGCGUCUGUUCAGGCUAUUCAACCAAUUCCACCUGCGUUACCAGCUCCUAGUCAACCAGCAAGGCAUGUGGUUGAUGUAAUUACUGGGGGUACUUCUGGCAAAGUUAUAGGAAAGAAGCGUCGAGGAUAUCUGGAUUCGGUCAUGUCAGUGGCGGGUACGCUCUCGAAGACUGAAAGACCUUAUCCAGGUACGAUAAUUUCUUUUAGCGAUGAGGAUUACCCUUCUGAACCCAUCGAACCUCAUGAAGGGGCACUGGUGAUCACUGCACAAGUGGGUUCGGUUGAUAUGAAGAGGAUGAUGAUAGACAAUGGAUCUUCUGUUGAUAUUCUAUACGCAUAUACUUAUCAGAGGAUGCAUUUGGAUGAGCAAAAGAUGGAGGUCGAGCAGGAAGCUCCUUUAUAUGGCUUCAACAACGAUCCGGUCAAAGUGGCGGGGACCAUUGAGCUGUCAGUCAUCUUCGGUACAACCCCACAACAGGUAGAAAUAGUAUGUAAAUUUUAUGUUGUGCAUGUAGAUUCGGCCUACAACGCCAUUUUAGGGAGGCCCACCUUGACUGCUCUUCAAGCCGUGACGUCAAUUCCCCAUUUUAAAAUCAAAUUCCCGACGUCUUAUGGAGUUGGUGAAGUGGCUGGGGAUCUUGAUUUAGCUCAAAGAUGCUAUCGGAAUGCUGUGAUUGCUUCUGGAUUAGGGGUUAGUAAGCAAAAACAGACUCUGGCUAUUGAGAUUGAGCCCUUUACUGAAAGCAGUUCAGAGCCGUUAGUCAUGCCGGCUGGGGAAACUAAAGAGAUCGAGCUAAUUCUAGGAAGGAGGGACAAGACGAUGAAGAUAGGUUCGGGUCUGCCAGAACCUCUCCGGACAAACCUAGUAGAAUUAUUACGUUGCUAUGCUGACAUCUUCGCUUGGGUAUCUAGUGAUAUGCCUGGGGUGAGCAGAAAAGUUGCAGAGCAUCGACUUUAUGUGGAUCCAACAAAGAAACCAGUUCGGCAGAAGAGGCAGAUAUUUGCACCAGAGCGUCAAAGGAUUAUUGAUAAAGAAAUAGCCAAACUUUUGGCUGCUGAUUUUAUAGUCAAAAUUGAUUGUCCGGAGUGGAUGGCAAAUAUGGUCCUGGUAUAGAAGCAAAAUGGGAAAUGGCGAGUCUGCAUUGAUUACACGGAUUUAAAUAAAGCUUGCCCGAAGGAUUUUUAUCCCUUGCCUCACAUUGAUUAGCUCAUGGAUGCAACUUUGGGAUAUGCCUUGCUGAGAUUCAUGGAUGCAUUCUCUAGGUAUCACCAAAUUUCUAUGUGUAAAAAGGAUAUACCGAAGACGGCGUUAGUUACGCAUCAGUCGGUAUAUGCCUAUAAGAAGAUGACAUUUGGCUUAAUAAACGUUGGGGCCACAUAUCAAAGGAUGAUGAACUUCACCUUUGCGAAACAGUUGGAACGAAAUAAGGAGGUCUACGUUGAUGAUAUGAUUGUAAAGAGCAUGUUGGUGCAAGGGCAUUUAGAUGAUUUAGAUGAGUGCUUCCAGACCGUUCGUCAUUACAACCUGAAACUGAAUCCUACUAAAUGUACCUUCGGUUUUGGUGCAGGCAAGUUCUUGGGUUAUCUGGUUAGCAAACGGGGUAUCGAAGCAAAUCCAGAGAAGAUCCAGGCUAUUCUGAACAUGAAGACUCCUCAAUCUUUUAAAGACGUUCAACGUCUAACAGGAAGAAUUGCAGCUUUGAGGAGGUUCAUGUCUAAGUCGGCGGAGAGAUGUUUGUCGUUCUUUGAUACGUUGAAAGGGCCGAAGAAUGCAAAGACGUUCCAAUGGACUUCGGAAUGUGAAGACGCCUUCCAGGGAAUAAAGACGUAUCUGUCUUCAGUGCCUUUGUUGGUGAAGCCCGCUCCUGCUGAGCCAUUGUACUUGUAUUUAGCAGCUAGUUCAUCGACAGUAGGAGCAGUAUUGGUGCGUGAAGUUGGGGGUAAGCAACACCCGAUUUACUAUGUGAGCCAUGUCCUUAAGGAUGCUGAAACAAGGUACCCGAACAUUGAAAAGUGUACCUUUGCUUUGAUCAUAGCUAGUCGAAAGCUUAGGAAGUAUUUUCAAGGUCGGUUGUUAAUAGUUUACAUAGAUCAGCCCUUGAAAAAGGUUUUGGGAAAACCUGAGGUUUCGGGGAGACUUGCGGCUUGGACGAUGGAGUUGUCUCAAUUCUUCAUAGAGUAUCAUCCCCGAACGGCUGUUAAAGCGUAGGCUUUGGCUGAUUUUGUGGUUGAGUGUUCAUUUUCUGAGGCUGAUAAUAGCUUGUGGGAGGCUGAAGGGUCUGACAAAGCAGUUGUAGUACUUCAGCAGAAGCAAAGUUCGUGGACGCUAUUUGCAGAUGGAUCUUCUACUUCGGGUAUCAGUGGAGCAGCAAUUAUCUUAUCAAGUCCGGAGGGAUUCAAAGUGCAGCAGGCUAUUAGGUUCGGGUUCAGAGCAACGAACAACGAAGCAGAGUAUGAGGCGGUGCUAGCAGGAUUACGACUGGCGAAGAGCCUCAAAGUUCAAAGAUUGAUCAUUUACAGUGACUCUCAGUUAGUUGUCAAGCAGAUUUCAGGGGAAUAUGAAGCUCGAAGAUCAAGGAUGAUCAAGUAUCUAGCCGAGUUAAAGGAUCGACUCCAGUACUUCCUUUCUUAUGAGUUUCAAGGAAUUGAUCGCAAUGAUAAUUCCACUGCUGAUGCAUUAUCAAAGCUGGCUACAACGGAUGCAAGUACUUUUGAUGGAUCGGUAUACUUGGAAACUCUACAACAACCUAGUAUCCAGCAUGAAUCAGUAAUGUGCGUUGAGCGUUCGAGUUGCUGGAUGACUCCAUAUCUGGAGUAUUUUGUAAAUGGCGUACUUCCUUCGGAUCAGAUGUUGGCUAAGAAAGUAAAGUAUAAGAGUGCUAAUUUGGUGCUUAUUGAUGGGGAUCUCUUUCGAAGGGCUUACUCAUCUCCAUUGUUGAAGUGUCUGGUUUCGUCUAAGGCUGAAUAUGUUCUUCGCGAAGUUCACGAAGGUAUCUGUGGAGAUCAUAAGGUAGCAAAGUCGUUAGCUUACAAAGUACUUCGGCAGGGCUAUUAUUGGCCUACCAUUUUUAAGGAGGUUGCGGAGUAUGUGAAGAAGUGUCAGAAGUGUCAACUGAAUAGUCCGAUCCCACAUCAGCCACCAGAAGAGCUAUACUCGGUUUUAUCUCCUAUACCUUUUGCUUUCUGGGGGUAGAUAUACUGGGUCCGUUGCCGAAAGCUAAAGGUCAGGUCAGUUUUGUUAUAGUAGCAAUUGAUUAUAUGACCAAGUAGGUAGAGACAAAGCCACUCAGGUUGAUAAUCGAACAUGAAUGUUUAAAGUUUCUGAAGGAGUCUGUGGUAUUUCGUUUUGGCAUCCCGAUGGUGGUGAUUUCUAAUAAUGGACGCCAUUUCGUGGGAUCAAAGUUUGAAGCGUUUCUGAAAGAAUUGGGGGUCCAACAUAGAAGGACUUCAGUAGCUCAUCCACAAUCUAAUAGGCAGGUUAAAGUGACUAACAGAAUACUUUUGAAUGGGAUCAAGCGAAGAUUGGAUGAGGCAAAGGGAAGAUGGCCAGAGGAGCUGCUCAGCGUACAGUGGGUUUAUCCUACUACGAGGACUACAAUGGGAGAUUCACCUUUCAGGUUGGCUUAUGGCAUAGACGCCUUAGUCCCUGUGGAGAUUGGAUCAACAAGUCUCCGGGUCAGUUAGUUUAGAGAAAUUUACAACGACGAAGGACUGAAGGUCAACAUGGAUUUAUUGGAAGAAGUCAGAGAGGCAGCUUUGAUAAAAUUGGCAGUGUAUCAACGACGUGUAGCUAAACACUAUAACAACGGGGUAAAGCUUCGGAGGUUUGAAGUAGGAGAUUUUGUCCUCAGAGAAGUCGAAGCUUCUAUGCCUCAGUGUUUGGGAAAGCUGAUGCCAAAUUUGGAAGGUCCUUAUGAAGUUAUCGAAGUGCCGAAGCCAGGGACUUAUCGGCUGAGAACUUUAUAUGGAUCAGAAAUCAAGAAUACUUGGCAUGCUGGUAGGCUUCAAAAGUAUUUUCAAUAGAGAUAAUGUCAGUCUGACGGAGUCUGUAAUUAUUUGAAUUAUCAUCAAUAAAAGAAGCUUUUUCUCCAAUGAUGUUUUGGUCAACAAAGUUCUUUCGGCGUUCGGAGGUUCGACUGGAACCAUUCGUCUUAAAGGCGGCGGAUCGGUUGAUUACGGAGUUUGUUCGGCCCUGCGUUGGUCAACAAAAUUAUUUCGGUGUUCGGAGGUUCGGGAACCAUUCAUCUUAAAGGCGGUGAAUCGGUUGACUACGGAGUUUGUUCGGCCCUGCGUUGGUCAACAAAAUUAUUUCGGCGUUCGGAGGUUCGGGAACCAUUCGUCUUAAAGGAGGCGAAUCAGUUGAUUACGGAGUUUGUUCGGCCCUGCGUUGGUCAAAAAAAUUAUUUCAGCGUUCGGAGGUUCGGGAACCAUUCGUCUUAAAGGCGGCGAAUCGGUUGAUUACGGAGUUUGUUCGACCCUGCGUUGGUCAACAAAAUUAUUUCGGCGUUCGGAGGUUCGGGAACCAUUCGUUUUAAAGGGGGCGAAUUGGUUGAUUAGGCAAAUGCAGAUCUAUCUCACACUUCGGUAACAAAUAAGUAUUACAUUACUUUAUUACAUGAUUUUAGUUAAGUGUUGAGUUCAGAUUAUGUUAUUAUUUAACAUUAUCUGUUGAUUAACUUGCUUAAACUAUUGGUUAACAGUUUAAGAUAAGUUGAAGAAAGAGUUUAUGCAUUAGUAAAGUUGAUUAAUGGUGAAUUAUUGACAAGAAAUGAUCACAAGGAAGUAAUAAGGAUAAAGUUGAUAAUGAUUCAUAUUAACUAUUUACAAAAAGAUAUGGGUCUUUACAAAGAGUUCAAAGGCUACAGGAAAGUAAUGACAUCUUCAGGAUUCCUUAUUUUCUUCGCUGUCUGAAGAGUCGAGGAGAACCGGGUCUACCUUGGCCGAUACAAGUUUGGCUUUGUCUUUGCUUCGGCAGACCUCGUACCCUUCAGAAUACAUUUGAACAAUCUCAUUGUUCAGCUCGGCGGAUUUCCUGUAAUUUUCCUCGACUUCUUUACGAAGAUCGUCAGUUAGGGGCGGACCUAAGUCCCUUAGGGCCCCAAGUUCUCGAAGCUCCUCUUCAACCUUGCGACGCUUCUUCAAGUGUCGAUCCUCCCUGACUUGAACUUCGUUGAUUUGUAUCACCAGACUCUGGUUGGAUUUUGCCAGAUCUUCAUUCUUCUUUUACAAAAUUGUGUUCCUCUAAACUAAGUCAACAUUCAUGUUAACUGUUGUUCAAUGAACGGCUUCAGUGGUCUCUAACUUAUCCUUUACUUGAGUGAGCUCCUUUCGGAUACACUCAUUGUUGAAGAGGGCAAUGUCAAGAUUGCUUCUUUCCUUCGCCAAGGCAGACUUGAAUAUGGCAUUCUCUUUCCUAGCGGCAUCUUCUUCGGCUUUAAAUUCUUUAUAUUUGGGACGAAGAUGCCUGAAGAUACCGUUUGCCUACAUAUGUUUAGAGUGGAUCAGUUAGUAUCGGCUGAAUAUAAAUAAUCUCAAGGAAACAAAUUAUAGACGAUUUACCUUGGCUUGGUACAUCAAUCCUUCAUCAAGUAAAUCCACAACGGAACUGUUACCGAAGCGGUGGUUGUCUGUGUCACACACAAAUGAAUUUUAGAGUUGGAAGGGGAAUUCUUCGUGAAGAUCAGGCCAUAGAGUGGGAGAUACCACAGCUUCAGACCUUGCUUGGGAAGAAGAUGGUCUUUCUGGUGGUUUAGCAAUGAUAGGUUCAGGAGGUGGUGGUGGUUGAUCAUCAGAAGGUUGUUUUCUUUUGCGAGAAAGGGGUGAAGAAGGCUCGAUUUGUUCUUCAAGUUAUUCCUCAGAAACUUGGAUCUCCACUGGGAUGACUGGUGGUUGAAAGGCUUCAGUGGAGGGUAUUCGAAGUGCUUCGGCAGAAAGUGGGGUUAUUUUGAUUUUCCUCUUUUUGGUACGAAGAGCUCGAGUUCGUUCGUCCAGAGGCUUAUCAAGCAGGCUUGCGCCAAAUGCUUGUGGAUGGAUAGGUUUGGCUUUUCGGCUGGCUCGCUUCUUUAGGCGGGGUUGGCUAGGCUCUUCGGCCAGAGGGGGUUCCGCAGUUUGUGCCUCAACCAUUUGGAUUCCCGAAGAUGAAGUUUCAGCGGUUUGAGCUUCGGCAGUAGCCUCAGAUGGUUUGGAAAAAAUGAAUGCUUCAAGAUCUCUUCGGGACUUCCAUUUGUGGUCGUACAACCACGCUUGCUUAGUCAGGAUUCCGAAGCUCCAUUCUUUCUUCAGAAAAUUCUCCAGAAGUUCUAUCAUCUCUUUUAUACGCUCUUCGGAGAUGUCCCCAACAUCUACAGACAGCUUGUUAGCAGUGGUCCAGUUCGGGAGAGAGGCUAUUUCAUGUCCUUUGAUGAAGAACCACUCCUGAUGCCAUCCUUUGUUGCUUGAAGGAGUGCUGAUCAGGGAGCGUCUUUCAAAGUUCUCGUCCGGCUUCGAGGACUGUUUGUUUAGGGCUUUGAAUCCCUUCUCUUGGGACUUGCCAACAUAGUAGAUGGAGAAGAAGAAGUCCAGGGUAGGUUCGAUGCCUACCUCGUGGAAGAAGGUGAUGAAGGCCAGAAUGUGGAUGUAGGAGUUGGGUACCAGUUGGGCAAAUCUGAUACCAAUAAAUCCCAGGAGGGUGAUGAUGAAGGCAUGCAAAGGGAAGUGAACUCCCUUCUCGAGCAAAGUGAGGGGAAUAGCCGUCCAGCCAUCGGGGCGUUGGUACAUUCUCUCUGAAGAGGAAGGCGCCCUUAGGUGAUGGGUUUCUAGAAUUUGAUAUUGGUCUCUGAUGAUACGGACCUCUUCUUCAGAGAGGGUGGAAGGGGUAUUAGCAAGAAGAAAUUGUUCUUCGUUCUUGAAGAACUCAGUAGGGUUUGGGGUAGGCUUCAUAGGAGCAGAUUUUUUGAUUGGGGUAGCUGUGGGUUUGGGGUUUGAUCCCGGAACUGUUUCAGUUGUGGAUUGAACUGAUGGAAUAAUAGCGAUUGUGGUGACAAGGGGAGUAACUUCCUUGUUGGAGGCUUGGGACGCCAUUGAUAACAGAUUUGCAGAGAGAAAGAGAUCGGGAAGAAGAGAGAGGCUGAAGAAAUCUGAGAAUUUCAAAUAAGCUGGUAAAGCUUUCAAAGAAAGAGAAAGAAGGCUUUUAUAGUAGCUGUCUUUUCGAGUGUUCACGCAACACGAAGGCGACAUAUUUAAUUCUGGCAAUGAUGGCGAAUUUGAAAGGGUAUUAACCAGAGUGGGCUUCCAGAUUGGGCCUCCGGUUUCUGAGUACCUUGUUAUUUGAACUUCCUACCAGUUGGGCCUCAGGAGAUUUUAUUAUUUGGGCCAUCUAUAUUCUUUCAUUAAACAUUCUGUUUAAUAAAAGAUUGGAGGGCAAUGUUGGACCAUAAUACUUUAGACAUGAUGGGCUUGGGUCUUGAAAGUAUUGGGCCGGUUCAUUAGGCUGACCCAUAGGCUGAAUAAUAUCUUUGGCUAGGUUUUGACCAAUAAUCAUUACAUGGAUGAACUUUGACUGUUAUCCUGCAAUGCAUUAAUGAGGAGUUGACAUGGCCUAGUCGGCGGUGAGCUAUGAUGGGAUUGUCCGAUGGUUUACGUGCAUAUGGCUGACGUGGGAGUGGGUCAGCAGCAUGCAAGACAAAGAGGAGUAGUAUAUGAUAGCAGAGGAGAACAUAACAGAGGUAACUGAUACUUUUCUUAUCAAAAUACUAGAGCUAAUAACCUCCAUUGUUAUCAUUGUAUCUGCCUGUACUGACUCUCACGCCGGAGUUAUCCCCCGACGGUCCAAGCCGUCAAGCUUCUGGUAUUGACGUGUUACUGUGCAGGAUUGGACGCGCUUUUGAGUGAUUGAGGCGCGUGGAAAAAUCUUGGCGUUAACAACGAGUAUGAAAGGAAAUGACACUCCUUACGAGUAUGAAAAGAGUGAUACCCCUUACCUCAAUUAGCAAGUGACAGGAUAUUGCUUUCUAUGAAGUUUAUCAACUUGAACAAUACAUGUAUUCCUACCGAUCUUCCCAAAUACUAAAGAUAGCCUAGCUCACUUAGAGAGAAUUUAUACUAAGAAAUUUUUAGAGAGAAAAAUGAAAUGCAAGUAAUGAAGUUAUGAAUUUUCCUUAUGCUAAGUCUUCCUAUUUAUAGCCAAAAUUCACCACAUUUAGUAAAUAUACUAUUCACCCAUUAUCAUUAUCUUUAAACAUAAUGAUUACCUAUUUUCAUCUAUUAUUAUUAUUUUUAAAAGUAAUGAUUAUUUCCAUUAUCAUUAUUUAUUAAAAAAAUAAAAUGAUUAUUUCCAUUAUCAUUUAUUUAUAAAAAGAUAAAUCCAUUAUUAUUAUUUAUUCAAAAGAUAAAAUGAUUAUUUCCAUUAUAAUUUAUUUAUAAAAAGAUAAAUCCAUUAUCAUUAAUUAUUCAAAAAAUAAAAUAAUUAUUUCAAUUAUUUAUAAAAAGAUAAAUCCAUUAUCAUUAUUUAUAAAAAAUAAAUCCAUUAUUAUUAUUUAUAAUUUUUACCAUUCAUAAAAAUAUCUUUAUUCUACCAUAUAUUAAUUACCUCACGUAUUAAUUUAUCCAUAUUUUUCACAUUUCAAGAUUACAUUUAAUCUUUACUAUUCAAAAUCAUUAUAUCAUUCAUCUUCUUUAUUAUUGGCUUAAUGUGUUACUAUCACAAAUAUUAGUGUUCUUCAAAUAAUGACUAUGUCUAAUAGUUUAAUACCCAUGACUUCCAUUUAUGCAACUUUUCAAUAAUACCCUUACUACAAUGAUAAUUAUUAAUUAUAUUUUAUAAAUUAAAAUAUAAAUAUAAUUUAUGUUUAUGUUUUAUGUUUUAUGUUUAUAAAUUAAAAUAUAAUUUAUUUUAAUAUAUUAAAAUAUAAAACAUAAUUUAUUUUAAUAUAUUAAAACAUAAUUUAUUUUAAAACAUUAUAUCCUAAUUUAUAAAUGUUAAAAUUUAAUGUAUUUUAAUAUAAUUAUAAAUUAGGAUAUAAAUUAUAUUUUAAUAUAUUUAAAAUAUAUAAUCAAUUUGAAUUAAUAUAAUUAUAUUAAUUAUCAAAAAGAUAUGUAUUUUAUUAAUAUAAUUAUACUAAUUAUCAAAAAGAUAUGUAUUUUUAUAUUAUAUUAACGCCAUAAAGUUGCGUCAAGCAUGAGUCACCGAAAGGAAAAAGGUUUGUAUCUAUACUCUAAAAGAAUAGUUAUCAGAUUGUUUUAAAAAAUUGAACUUAAUAGUGAUACCGAGUAUGCAUGUAUUAGUUAAGGUAUUAUGUUCGUCAAAUUCCUUUGGCCGCAGCUCUUUCCUGCUUUCCCGAUUUGACUGGCCGUGGGAAGAAGGUGCAGCCAGGCCGCGGGAAGAAAGUGCAGCCUGGGUGAAAAAUAAAUAAAUUUAAAGACAUUUUGGUAAUUUUACUAAAUAUUAGUAUUAUAUAUUUUUUACAUACUAAAAUUAAAAAUCAUAUUAUCUUGCCACUUGAACGUGUCCUACUUCUGUAACUUCUCUCUCUCUCUCGUUUUCUAUUAUUUCAGUGAAGAACUACUUCUGCAAGAGGAUGGUUCGGAAGUAAGUGGCAUGGCAAAUGAGUUUAGCAAGGUAAUGCAUCUCAGCCAAGCUUUGGUUCCUACAGAACCCUUGAUUGGGGGGAGAAGAUUCAGCGGUACCUCCUUCCUCUCUCCUCUCUCCUCUCUCCUCUCUCUAAGGUAUAGUAGCAGUAUCAGAUCUAUUUUUUCUCUUUCUAAGAUGAAGAAGAUGAACAUAGUAGCAGCAGCCAUGGCCACCGAACAUAGUAGCAGCUCCGCCCCUGACAGCCCGCGCCGGCGCAGCCCAGCCGUCCUUCUUCACUCCCUCUGCCUCGAUUCCUCCGACCGCGCCGUGGACUAUGCCCUUGCCGCUGACCUCGGUCUUCACCGGCUGACCUCCCUCUCCUUUGUGAUUUCUUUUCAAAUUGAGAGUAUUUAUGAUUUCUUUUUUGUUGGUUGCUGAAAUGGGUGGAUCUGUAUGUAUAUGUGGUGGAUCUGUAUGUAGUAUCUAGUAUUGAUUGAUAGAUUGGGUGGAUCUGUAUGUAUGUGGUGGUAGGUCGGCUGGAUCUCAUCGUGGUGGUGGAUCUAUUGAUGACGUGAUUUUGAGAGACGGCGGUGCAUAGUGGUGAUAUUAGACGGUGGUGGUGGUGGUGGUGGAGGUGGAUGUGGUGGACUGGUGGUGGUGUUGAUGUCCGAUAUUAGAUGGUGGUGGUGGAUAUAAAUAUAAAUAUUAAUUUUGUUUAUUAAUUAUUUAUUUUAUUUUUUUUUAAAACAAAAUAAAUAAUUAAUAAACAAAAUAAAUAUCAACAAAUAUUGCCAUGUCAGCAAAUAUUGACAUGUGUCAGUCACGUUAUAAAAGGUUUAACAUCCGUUUGUCUAGUUGGCACAAUUGUUAACGGCAGGAACACGAAUGAUCCAAAAAUUGUAACGUUAAGGGUAUUUUUGGACCCAAAAAAAGUAUAGGAUGCUCGGUAGACAUUGAAAAAAAUGUCAAAGAUAUUUUUGAACCUUAUCCCGGAUCAUUACCAUAUAUAUAAGGUAUCAAUACAUGACAACCGAUUGCCAUGGAUACUAUUUGAACAACCAAUAUAUCCACCGUUGAUCAUUUGAAUGGAUGACUUGGAUUGAUAGAAAAUUUCCGCCUGUCGCUACAAGCUCUGGUGUAGAUCUGACGGCAAUUUAAUUUUGCAGUACCAAUUCCAGUUAGGCGACUUGGUAGACUUAGUAGUUGACAAUACAACAAAAGCAUAUUUAGCAUAAUACACUCCACUCGUGCAAAUAAAUAACAAAAUCCUUCACAAAACAGCCUUGAGCACUUCCAGUAUGAGGGAUAUACUGACUCUCACCGACUUUACAGUCGUUGAUAACUGCAAUUUGCCCCCUUCUGCAAUUGGCACCCUUCUGCAAUCUUCAUUUAAGCAACUAUUUGUCACUGCAAAAUUAGUAUCGAUUAGAAGCAUGCCCAAAUUUCAGUUAAAGGUCACAGACUCGGUGCAGAUUACAACCACUAUUUUAAUCUUACUCAUUAAGAGGUGAAAUUUUUGUGAGCUGGCCAUGCAACCACUAACAAUAUAUUCCGGAACUCAAAAUGGUUUUACCAGUAUAGAUGAAAAACCAAUUUUUACAUCCUUAACUUUGUUAGUAAUUAAAAGCACACUAAAUUUCGUUUACGUAAACGAAAUGCACCACCCUCCAAAAUACGUGUAAAAAAGUGCAAAAUAUUAAAAAGAUAUAUAAAAAGAACAUAACAAUCACAUUUUAUAACCAACAAAAAUGUGCAAGUGCAUAGCUUUAAUAAAGGGUCAAGUCAAGGUCAAAUUAUAAAUAAUCUCUCUCCAACCAAUCCCUUCUCCCCCUCUCUCAUUUGAAAUGCAUAACAGCCACAUAAUCCUCUAAAAUUUGACAAUAUACAUUUCAAGCCAAAGCAGACCCAUUUGAUUGAUAAGUAGAAGAAAGGAUCAGGAGAUUGAUUACAUAUUAUGUUUAUCUUUAUUUAGUGAUACAUCUAUUGUAAAUUUGUAAUUAAUAAUUAAUUUUAUUAUAUCAGUUAGAUUAUUCUAAAAGUUUAAUUACAGUCAUAGAAUAGAAUAGAAUUAGAGUUUGUUUCCUUGGACUACAUGUUGCAAUCGCAGCGAUAGAUUUUGAAUAUUUGCCUGAUUUGCUAUAAGUGUUGCAAGGGACUGCGCAAUUCUUUUAAGGUGGUCCUCCCAACUAUAUGUCACCGUAGCUGCUAAUAUAUAGGUGUAUAAGCACAUAUAUUCUUCUGCACAAUUCUUUAACUGACUCCAAUUUUUAAAAAGAACUUGUUGACUCUUUUUAUAUUAACCAGGGACCAAACUUAAAGAAAGUAAUAAAACUAGGCAAAAACUGUGAAGACUGAAAGUGAAAGAACUGACUUGUCAAAUAGAAAAUUGCGGGACUAAACAGUCAAGUUUCAAAAAUUAAGGGACUUCAAAAGAUUUAGAAAGCCUCGGAACUAAAAUAAAGAAAAGGAAGAUUUUGGGUCACAACCGAAAUUCUGCAAGAGAUAUUUAAGUCUAUCAAAUACCUCUUCCUCCAACAUGAUUACCAAUUAGUCACACAAGCAGCAAAUAGCGAUGAGUGCAAUAUACAAACGGACAAAGGGAAAUUGAUGUUGCCAACUUAAAGAAUGGAGAGAAAAACGGAGUGGGCCAGUGACAAAGGAGGGGAUAAUCUACGAUAACCACUUUCUNNNNNNNNNNNNNNNNNNNNNNNNNNNNNNNNNNNNNNNNNNNNNNNNNNNNNNNNNNNNNNNNNNNNNNNNNNNNNNNNNNNNNNNNNNNNNNNNNNNNCUUCUCUGGUACUUUAAUAGCCAUACAGGCGUUUGGAGAUGGUGAACCAUGUUGAUUUUCUCAAAGAUGGCAGUUGCAUCAAAAUUCUUUAGUGUUGUGGUGGUUCCAAAAAAAUUGUGCUUAUGGAACUUGAGCAUAAGAUGCACAUGUUUUGAUGGAAGACUCUCUAACUGUGGUUUCUUAUGUAAUUAUUAUAAAACUAGUGGAAUGAUGCGGAGCAAGAUAAGAAGAUUAAACUUAAUAUUUUAUAUUGUUAUUUAGAGAUAUUUAUUUUAAUUAGUAAAUUUUAUUUAUUAUAUUAGUUAGAUUAUUAUAUAAGUUUAAUUAUAGUAGUAGAAUAUGUAAUGUUCCGAACUUCUUAGAAUUUGUAAUCCAACUUUAUAUGAAUAAUAAAGAUUGAAUUAUGCUUCAAAAUUGUAUUAUGUGAUUUCUUAUGUGUUUGAUUUUGUGUUUUGGUUCAUGUAUACAACCUUAAACACUUGUUAAAACCUAGAAUUGAUUAAAUAGAUAAACCUAAGGGUUAAAACCUAAAUACGAAAUCACUAUUCACUAAUACGACAAUAAUACGAUUAUAAUACGAAAUAUUAUGCGAGCAAAAUACAAGAAUAAUACAAUUAUAAUACAAAAAUUAUACGGUAAAAAUACGAAAAAGUCAAAAUCAACGAUUACGGCUAACUAACUAGUUGGAGUAACCGAACUAGGGAAAGAAAACCUAGUUAAACUAAGUAAUAGAGGAGGAUGUAAGCAAUGAUGUCAUGUAGGAUGAUGAAGCAAUGAUGUAAGCAAUAUGUCAUAGAUUGUGUAAAGACUAUUUUACCCCAACUCUUGCUAGCCUAUAAAUAGGAGGCUUUGCAAGCUUAAAUCCUUACCAAUUCACAAAAACAAAGAGUAAUUACUAUAGUGAGAUAAUUAAGAGAAGGAAAGCUAAAGUCUUGCGUCUUUAAGAAACGUAAAUCUUGCACGCUAAGAGGUAGAAUCUUAGUUAUUAUUUUCGAUUCAUGUAUAGUAUAGAAAUAUGCAUAAUCAUAGUAGUUACCAUGCUCAAUUCAAUUUAUGUUUAGAGUAAAUGUAUGAUGAUCCUUAGUUGUUAUCAUGUUCAACUCAAAACAAGUAUAGAGUAGAAAAGAUCAUAAACACUAGUUGUUACCAUGUUUAAAUUAUUUCAAAUAUUCGUGAGUAAAUAUCAUGGAUUUAUGUAUAAGUAGAUUUAUGAUUUUGUUAUUAGAUGUUAUAGAGUAGUAAAACAUUAUGGCUUAGCUUUGCAAUGCUUUUGAGAUCAUGUUUUACUUAGUUAAAACAAGAAAUUAUGAACCAAAUUGUUUUGGGGCUUACACCACCUAUGAAAAUAGUCAUAUAUAUGACUUAUAAAGUUUAAUUAGACAAUAAACUAAUACCCGUAUACACUUAAAAUUGUGUAGGAUUUACAAAUAAGGGUGUAAACGAGUUGAAUCUAAGCGAACAUCCUAAUGCUCAGAUUCGGCUUGGCUUGAAAAAAAUGAGCUCGAAUUCGACUCAGAUUCGAUUAGAAAUUUCUAAUUUUGCACCAGAUUCGACUCGGAUAAUUACUCGGACCUACUCGGCUCGUUUACAAAACGAGUUACUCGUGAGCCUUCAAAUCGAAUUUAGAAUAUGAACCAUUUCAUUUAAUACUGAACCACUACAUACUAAAUUGAUUAUUGAACUAAUAUUUAUAUAUAAAGUUUUUUAUUUUUAUUUAUGUAAAGAAAUUAAAAAAAAUGUAAUACAAAUUGACAAUCAAUUUAUUGAUUUAUUCAAGUACAGGUUUACACAAUUUAAUACUACACUUUAUAAAUUAUAAAGAUUAAUACAAAUAUAACAUAUUUAGCUUGUUAGUAUGGAUCAGACCAAUAUUCGAAUAUGAUCCAUCGAGUAGAUUCGAGUAUGGUUCAAGAAAAAAUGAAAUACUUGAACCCUAAUCUGAGCGAAUACUGGUAUACUCGAAUUCGACUCGUGUAUCAUUAAACAGAAAACAAGUAUGGAUCAGAUUCGACUCGAAUCAAUUUCAAAUUCGAGUUUUGGAUAAUAUUUUCGAUCCGAUCUAGAGUCGAGUACCGAGCUACUCUGCUCGGCAUACACCCCUAUUUACAAAACAAGUUAAGCUUAUUGUUUAACUAUAAAUACGCAUCGAGGCAAGUCUUUUACCCAAAUUUAUAUUGCCAGUUUUAUAUGAUAUUUAUGCACUUUGUGCAACGUGUUAUAAAUUCUUGAAUGAAGUUAUUGCUACUAGUUUUGGAAUAACUUAAGAAAUGAACGUUUAUUCGUGAAGUACUGAAUUGCUAUAAUUCUUUAUAUGAGCUAUUUAGUCAAACCAAAUUGUUUUUGGGCAACCUCUGCAUGUAAAGUAAACUGAGAUGAACCCCCCUAAUUCAUAGGGAUAAAUAUGAUGUGUCGGGUACCUGAUUUAAACAUUGUUCAUGAGUAGUUCAGUGUAGUGUAUGUUAUGCAUAACAAAGGAUGUCGUUAGGUUGAUCCCCUAUAGAUAUCCAUUAUAUGGUUCUAAGUCGAAUGACGAACGAACAUUAGUUCUUGGUUUAAUUACCACUCAACUUUACUAUGUUAAAACAAUUGUUAUAUCUUUUAUUGAGCUAUAAAGCUUUUAAAUUCUCUAUCGGUGUGAGUUCACUUAUAUGCUAUGUGUUUAGACUUGUUGAGCAACUUUGCUCACUCUUGCAAAUAAAUCCCCAUUUGCAGCUAAAGAGGAUAAACCCGAGAGCUCUGGCUCUAAGAAGAAGAGAAAGAAGAAAUGCGCAGACUAGUUUACAUGUAUUAUAUAAUCGCUUGUCAUUUUGUUGUAGUCAUAAUGACUUUUGUAAUACAAACAAGCAAAUCAUGUAACCGAAUCUUAUAUCAAUAAUAUCAUGUUAUUAUCAUCAAAUGUUGUGUAGUUACUUUCACAGAAUUUAGAAUUUUGAAACAUUAAUACAAUAUUGAUACAGAACUAUACAUCUGAAUGAGAAUAUUGAAUAACAUUGUGAGUUCUGUAAGCACAGAGAUUUAGCACCGACAAAGAGAAAUCUUUAUCGCAAGGUUCCUCUGUUCCAAGAACAAGCUUGUUAUUAAUAUUGUGAACUUCAGGUAUAGAAUAAAUAUCAAUAUGAAGAGGUAUCUCUAUAAAGACAUGUACCUAAGUUAGGAUAUUGAAUAAUAUGGGGAGUUCUGUAAGAAAGGGAAUCUUGCCACGGAUAAAGAGCCUAAUAUUUCGCAAGAUUCUUCUGUUCCAAGAAGAAUCCUAUUAUUAAUGCUCUGAACCUUGGAUAUAUAUUAGUAUAGAAUGUCUAAAACUUAAGGUUAAAAUAAGUAAAAGUGAUCACCAGAUUCGUUCUAGCAAGUACAGGGAUUUGGGGGGCAUCACGGAAUAUAAAUACGAGUUGUUUCCUUUUUAAAUUAAGGUUUUUACAUACUCUACAAGUUUUAGGUUUUCCAUAUGAGUAUCAUAAUCCUUCAUUAUUUUUCAAAGUUGAAUAAUUAUCGAUUGAGACUAAAGCUUUGUCUUAUGUACUUAUGUUUAUGUGUGCUUCUACCGGUUCCGCGCGUUGAUAGAUUCUCAAUCAUGAUUCUUCCUCAUCUUAAUCUAUUUUUCUAAACCUGUCCUACAUCACAUUAACAACCGUAAAAAUCACUUCAAAAUUCAGCCCAAAACAAUUAAUUAUCCACGUCGUGCGGUAGGGAUUUUUGCCGAAAAGUCCAUCUAAAAUCCAUAUCAAACCCUUCAUUAGUAUUGAGAAACCACUAGGCUUUGUCUAGCCAGCAAUUCUGAGCAGAUUCAGUCUCGAUUAAUCACUCCAGAAAUCAAUUCUCCUCACCCUGUAGCAACAGUGGGACACAAUCUUUGAAAAAGCACCUUCAAACACCCCAAUAACCUUAUGCUUGAGAUUGAAAUUCCUGAGUUAUUAAAAAAUCAAAAAUAGUGCAGAUUAGGCUAGACAAUAGCGAAACAGCAGCCAAAACCAUACCAGAUUCAUCAUAAAGCCAAAACGAGGCUCAGUUCAGUAGGGUACUACAUAAGCGCAGAACUGAGGUAACACUCAACCAAAUAAGGUCUCAUUUGUUUCCUCGUAAUUGUUUAUCAAACUUUCAUCUGAGAUUCUAAAGAGCCUUUAGAGGAGAUUAGGUUUUGGAUACGCCGAUGGUUUGGUUGUAUCAUUAACGUUUUUGACAUAAAAGCCAUCAUUUAAAUCACGUUACUCCCUCUCCCGAAAUGACUGGAAAUGUGUGCGGAGGAGGGUACAUUUUGUAUGCGAAAUUGAAUUUAGCCCUUUUGGAUGCUUUUAAUUGCUACGAAAAAUUUAGGGUACACAUCAAUUUUUCAGUCAAAUUGUACUGUGAACUAGACUUUAGUCUACAAGUAUAUAGCAAAACUUAAAAAUCAGAGUGAAACUUAUUCAGAAACAUAAAGCAACAAGAAGAACACAUCAAAGCAUUGUUAAUGCUCUUAACAACUGCGCAAAUAGUAGUGUAUACACCAACUUUUUAAUUAAGUAAACAUAGGAUGCGACUUGCAACUCAAUCAUCACAUCUUAAGUAGAAUUGUAAAUUAAAAUUCAAUUCUAAAAUUUGCAAAACAAGUGAAUAGUUCUAUCAAUCAGAAAAUACAGACUUCCUAUUAUAAGUUAGGUGACUAUGAUAGAACACAAUUCAGCUUCUGCGUAAGACCAGGAAUACACGUAACUACGCAAGGUAAGGUGAUUAUCAUAGAACACCAUUCAUCUUCUGUCAACUGGCCAAAGUAUAGUAACCAAUUUUUUGGUUAACUUAAGAUUAAACGUAAGCGUCUUAAGAGAACAUAAGGUAGUAUCAGUUCUAACAAAAACAAGUAAAACAGUAAGUUGCCCAGUUUAUUGUGAUAUAAAGAUUUACGCUAGCCGACUGGUGUUGUAGUCUAAAAUCAAGCAAUUUUCAAAGGAACAUGAGCAACCAAAAGAUAACAACCACACUCCCCACAAAACAAGACGAGGAGUUGCCUACGGAAAAUCUUAGCAAAGAAUUGACAUUAGUCAAAAAGUAAGCUCAAUGGAGUAGUAGGGAUACAGGCAUAGAAAACCUACAAACCAUGAAAGAAAUUAACUGUGAAAACAAAACAUAAUAAGGGUGAACAAUAAAAAAAAACGAGAAAAAAAUUCAAAUUGAAUAAAAAGACAAGUAUCAAUACUUACAGCAACAAGCCAUCUAGCAGGUUCUCCCCGAAAGUAAUAAAUCGACUGAUGCUUGGCUUGAUGUGGACAUCUAACUGCUCAAAGGGAUUGUUUGCAGGUGUCUCUAUGUCAUGCGAAACAACAAGACGGUAACACCUGAUCUCACAAUAGCUAUCAUGUAAACGAUAGAUCAAUAGAACGUAAAACUGAUCACCCUGGGAAGCAAUGGAUGAGCCAUCUGCACGGAGCUCGAUACAAAAAUAAUCCUGCGGAAUAUCGUUUGGGAACUUCCAUUCACUAAAGACAUAGGUCUGGGAGUUUUUUACCCAACAAAAUUUAUCAAACCGAUAGCCAACAAGGUUACCAAAGUCCUCCAUGUAAUAACGUGUCCGUCCGAGCACAAUAGGAGGCUCAUAGGGGAGAACUAAUUUCACGGAGUCUUUUUCUCUCUCCAUCUCCACCAGAGAACCGUCACGUAUAUUAUAAACAUAGGAUGAGAAAUGGGACUUCACAGAUGAAAACACAAGCUCAUAGGGUUCUAAAGGUGUCACGGUAUACCUAAAAUAACCCUCACGGUUGCUAAAAUAAUCAUAGGCAACUGGGGGAUUCAAUACAUCAAAAAGUGGCAAAGACUUCCCUUGAAACUUUACAGAUGACAAAAUCUCCCAGCGGCCAAUUUUCGGAUCAAAAUACUCAACCCAAUUUGUACGAAUUUCAUCAAUCUCAGUAUCCUCAUUCAAGCCGCCUUGAACGUAUAUCUUUCCAUCCAAAACGGCAGAAGAAAAUUGGGUUCUCACCAUAUUCAUGGGAGCUACCUCCUCCCAGUCCGUCGCAUUGAGCUUCGCAGUGUUAUACCUAUACACCUUAUUAGACUGCUUGAAUUCCACCCUUCCCUUCACAUAUAAUGUACCCCCUAAUACAUAUAUAAAGCAUCCUAAUCCAACAACACCAGACGACCUACACUGGUAGGUUUUAGAAAAUGGUUGAAGUAUCUUAGGAGGGGUGGGGUAGUCAGGAAGAUAGAAGUCGUCUGAUCGAGAGUUAGGGUUUGAAGAGCUAUCUUCUCCAAGGGAAAAGGCGUACCAGUGGGUACUUUCUUCAACGGAAGAAGAUUUAUCAAAGUGUGUGCGAAAGUAAACAACAACACCGGUACCUGUUCCGUCGUUCUCCUCGCGUGAUUGAAAUGAAUCCAUAACCGUCGACAAUGAAUGUACCGACAUUACUGAAUCUAGAGCAUCCGAUGCCAAAUUUAUAGCCUCCGAUCCAGGAUCCAUAGCCGAUCGAGUUUCCGGUAAAGUUUGUCCGUCUCUGGAGGAAUUGGUCCUAAUCGAUGCCGAAGUCACAGCCAAUACCGAAUUAAACUCCAGUAUUCGAUGUACAAUUUGUCUAUCUGCGGGAAAAGGUAGAACUUGAGAGAGAGAAGGAGAUUCUGCGGGUCUAGGGUUAAAUUUCGACAUUGCAAACCGACAUUGAGAACACUUCAGGUGCAGCAUUUUGAUCUAUUCUCAAGGGUCAUAUUGGUAUUUCCCUUAAGAACGGUCAACUAUUUAUUUUUGACCUUGAGUUUUAGAUUUUAAAAUCAAAAAAUAUAAAUGAUAUACAUGUAGAUAAAUAUUUGACGAAUUAAAUUGUAACUAAUGUUGCAAGUGUAUGCGAUAAAAUAUAAUAAAUUAAAAUAAGACUCUUCGUAGUUCAUACUUCUAUCAUUAUAUCAAAAUACUUUAAUCGGUACAUGAAAGAAAUAGGCUAAUUUGACUGUUUUUUGUUCAAUUUUUCGUAGAAUAACAUUCUCAUUAGUAAAUUUUUAUAUUUUAAAUACUCUUCCACAUUUAUAAUAUUAAAAAAUUUGAUUAAACAAGAAAAAAUCGAAUACCUAAUUUGGGAAUGCAUAAUAAGUAAUCUUUUUUAAUCAAAAAAAUCAAAAAACUGGUAACAAUUUUUUUAAUACAAAAAUAGCUUAUAAAAUAACGUGGGAGAGUUUAAUUAAUUGAUUAUGCACCAAAAACGAGUGGACAUAGUAAUAAUAACUCGUUACAAUCAAUCACAUCUUUUUGUAUACAUCUUGAGUAACUAUUUUUUAAAUGAAUUGAUAUUUUUACAACUAAAAGUGAUAGUUUCACAAGUUCUUUCUAAUUUAAAUAGUAACUGAGUCUCACAUUUAUGUGUAAAAGACUUUAUGAAAAUAUUAAUUUUUACUUGUUUAGAAUAGAUUCGGCGAAUGGACAAAAUUUGGACAAGUUAAUUUAAUUGGAUAUUAAAAUUGUAUCAUCGAAAUCGUUUCAUUUUUUCAAGUAACCAAUUUACCUAAACAAGUAUUCGCUGAGGUACACUCAAUUUGAUUUUUUUUCAUAUUAUGAAAUAAAAUGACCUCCACGCAUAUCGACACUGUUGGGUCAUGUUUAUUUGGGCUCGGAUAAUAUGGUGGGCCAUAGUCCACAUGAAGGAAGUCUCCCCACGUAAGAAUCUUUUUUGGGCAGUGGGAGAAUUUUAAGGAAUUUAAGAUUCUUAAUUAUAUUUGAUUUCCAACUCCUAAAGAAAGUGUUAGGAUAUAAUCCGACUUCCUUUCUUUAAGGAGAUUCAGUUUAAUCUCAUUAAGGUAUAUAUCAUAAUGAGGAAUUCUAUUUCCAUAUGGGGACGGGCAUGAAGUUGGUGGUGUGGUCACUUUAAAUAGGUACACGAUAUCUUAUUGUUUUUCCUACAUUAAAGUUUAAGUCUCCAUUGUUAAACCUUGUUCAGCUUGUACUUAUUCUCACACCGGAGUUAUCCCCCCGCGACCCAAGCCGUCAAGUUUUCUCCGUGUGAUUUUGUUUCUGUGCAGGAUUGGAGGCGCUAUUUGGUGAUUGGGCGCGUAGACGAAUCUUGGCGUUAAUAUUAGCGCUAAAAGGAGGGUCAUUUAGUGCUAAGUAAUUUUCAAUCACCUAGAAGUUUGAUCAGGAAUAAUGGCGACAAGUAAGACAGUUUUAAGACGUGGGAAGUCAACUGUCAAUCCAUAGGCUCAACCCAAAGGUUCAACCAAUAAUCGGUUAGGGUCAUCCGAUCAGGUAGAGGACAACAGUCAUUUAGUGGGACCAAGGAAUAUUCACUUAGUCCCCAUCAAGCGUCAGUUGUUUUCAACGGCGAGGAAAGAAGCGGGUCUUAAUAAUCGUGUCGAGGAUAUCCCAUCCCGAACACGUACACAACAAGAUCGAAAUUCUAGGCGAGAUAGUCAGGACGUGUAAUACUCGGGAUUUUUCUAAUAUUAUUAAAUAAAUAUAUUAAUGAAAAUGAGAAUUUAUUUGAAUAUAAAUGAUUUUGUGUUAUGAGAUGAGUUAAUUCAAUUAUAUUAAAUUGAAUAAUUAUAAUAAUUGAGGAAAUGUGGAGUUUGCGAUAAACUCGUGAAAGCCUUGUGUGACACUGUGAUGAGAAAUGUUAAUAAUGAGAUAUAUUAAUUAACGAAAGAUUUAUUAAGUGAACAAUUAAUUAAUUGUUAAUUGUUACCGUAGAAUAUUAAUUGAUAAUGUGGGGAUUAUUAUUAUUGCAAGUAAUAUAAUAAUAAUAAGCAACGUGUUCAUAAAUAUAAUAAGAUCCAUACUCAUGUGAUAUUUAAUCGUGUAAGUAUUAAUCUAUUAUUGUGAAUAUUAAUAAUUGUAUGGAUUAAUGAAAAACGAAUUAAUUAACAUUAUUAUUAAUUAAUUGAUGAGAUAAGUAAAGUAUUUACUUCUAUGUGUGAGCAUACAAAUUAAAAAGUAUAAAGUAUAGUAACUAACUAUAUAUUAUGAUGUGACUAUGUUAUAUAAAUUACAUAGUAAGGUUUAUUGAAUUAUAUGAGCUACUUGGGAAUUGCCUAUGUGACAAGGAGAAUGUGUGGACAUUAAGAUAAAUGUAGGUAUUAAUCGGUUUGGGCUUCCAGAUUGGGCUUCUUGUUUUAGAAUGCCUUGCUAUUUUGAAUUUCAUAUCAUUUGGGCCUUGGGUAAUUCUAUUAUUUGAUGGUUAUUCACAUUCUUUCAUUAAACAUUUUGUUUAAUAAAAGAAUAGGGGACAAUGUUGGACCAUAAUACUUUAGACACAAUGGGCUUGGGUCUUGAAAGUAAUGGGCCGGUUCAUUGGGCUGACCCAUGAAGUGAAUAAUAUAUUUGGCUAGGCUUUGACCGGUAAUGAUGAUAUAGAUCAACUUUGACUAUUAUCCUGUCAUGCAUUAAUGAGGAUGAGACAUGGCCUAGUCGGCGGUGAACUGUGAAGGGAUUAUCCGGUGAAGUGCGUGCAUGGGACUGACAGGAGGGCAGGUCGGUGGCAUGCAAGACAAAAGGAUAGUAUAUUUAGCAGAGGAUAACAACAAAGAAGGUAACGGAUACAUUUUAUUAUCAAAACACUAGAGCUAAACACCUCCAUUGUUAUCCUUAAAUCUGCCUGUAUUGAUUCUCACGCCGGAGCUAUCCCUCGACGGUCCAAGCCGUCAAGCUUCUGGUAUUGACCUGUUUACUGUGCAGAAUAAAAUGCGUUUUAUGUGAUUGAGACGUGCGGAAAGAUUUUGGCGUUAACACUUGACAACCCACCCUUUCUUCCUUAAUCUACAGAUUUUCCCUCACAAGCUCUCUCAAUUUCCUCUCUAUACAAACUUUGUUUUUCUUUUCCUCACCAAGCCUUGAAAACAAAGUACGUGAAAAAAAUACAAAAGGCUGACACAUAUAAUGUGUAGAAUUAAAACACCCAUCAGUUAAAAACACAAAAGGUUUAUCAGUUAAAAAUCCCAAACUUCAUAAGGCCAUGUUUGGUAAAAGUCUUUUCCUCCAAAACCAAUUUAUUUAAACUAACCACUUACCAUAUCGUUGAAUAUGGUCACAUGUCACACCUUUCAAUUAUUUAAAUUUUUUUUAAAUAUUUAAAUUAACAUAACACACUAAUUUAACAAAUAAAUUACUAUUCUAAUUUAAUAAUUAAACUAAACUAGAAUAUUAACAUUAUAAUUAUCAACAACUCACAUAAUCUAAUUAACUCAUUUAAUCAAAUUAUAAAAUUACCAACAUAAGUUUAAUUAAACCACAUCUAAUUAAAUUAAUGCACAACAAUUUAUUUAACUCAAGAAGUAAAUCAAUUAAAAUAUUUAUUCAAUUACAAUAAAUAUUUUAAAUAAUACAAAAUUCCAGAUUGUUACAGUAAUUAUCACUAUGGACGGUUUUAUCUAGUAUCGUAUAGUUCAUUAUUUAAUCAAAUAAAUUAUAUUUUAUUAUUUAUAAAAUCAUUUGAUGAUAGAUUAUAAUCUUGAGUUAAAUAUUGUCCUCACUCGACACAAUUUUGUCACAACAUAUCAUUGGGUCGUCUUUAUCCUUGUAUAAUACUAUCUUCGUUCGACUUUUAACAAUUAAUUUAAUAUAUUUUUAAAUUCAAAAUUGAGAUGAUUCGUCAAAUUUUAUAAAAUAAUAAUCUUAUAAUAAGUAGUAUUUUUAGAUGAUUUGUAAAUGUUAAUAUUCUAUAAUUUUAUUAGUGAACAAUAUUUUUAGAUAGUUUGCAAACAUCUUAUAAUUAGUAAUAUCUUUAAAUAGUUUAUAAAUUUCCAUCAUAAUUCUUUAUUAAGCUUUUCCCUCCUUUUCUUUGAAAAAAUAUACUCACUCUCGCUAUUGAGUAUUUACUCCUUCCGUCCUCAAAUAGAUGUCCAAAGUGCGUUUUGCACACAAAUUAAGAAAAAUAAAAUAUAAGAAAGACAGUAGAAUUACAAAUUUAUCAUUAGUGAUCCCACAAAAUUAAAAUAAGUAAUGAAUUUUUUAUUUUUAUUUUUAUAUACUAGCUAGUGAAGUCCACUAAAUGAUAUAUUUACUUAUUUAUGUACUUAUUGUCAUCUUUUAAAAAUAAAAAAUAAAAAAUAUACUUUAAAUCAUUUUUUAAAAGAAUGGGGGAGUAUCUUUUUAUCACGUCAAAGACACAUGUACAUCAAAUACUAUAAUGGUGAUAACACUCCUUUUAAAAAUAUUAAUUGUUGCAUUCUAUUGUUUCAAACUUAUAGCUAUUGAAGGCUAUAAUCCAUGACCUGAGUUCUUGUUAGAGAACUAAUGUCCGAGUCUAUGUAUGCUCGAGUGUACUAUAAGAUCGGGCGGUAGUCAACUUGUUAAACUUCUUUCUAAUUUAAAUUUGUUUUAUUUGCUUGCCAACAAUAAUCUGAUAUUUUUUGAUUUUAAAGUUUCGUUUCCUUUUACUUUUGGUGGUUGCUUCUUCUUUGGGUGACUUUAGUUUGUCCUUAAUUGGUCACAUAAUAGGAGGCAGGCUUGGUCUAUUUAGAAUAGUUUAUUAUCUAAUUGACUUACCUCAUGAGUCAUGAGUUACAUACCAAAUAGGAUGCAAAUUUAAUUAUUAUUCACCCUCAAGUUCAAAAUAAAGUUUUAUUUAUAAAAAUUGUAAUAUGAAGGAUGUAAUUUAAUUCAUAUGAAUUCUUAAAUAUAGUAACUUAAUUUGUUAAUUGAAUGAUGGAAUUAUUAAAACUGAAUGAUGGAAAUCAUGUCGUUGGCAUGUACAAUCUUUAAUUGGUCAUUGACCCACACUGAAAAAUUCCCUUAGGAUUGAAGAUUUUAGUGCAUGACAAUCAAGAGAGAAUUAAUUUGACUUGAUAUUUUCAUAAGUAAAUUUAAUAGUUAUACAAGUUCCUUCCAUAUGAAUAGUAAAUGAGUUUACCUUCAUGUGAGAGAGUAGUAUGUAGAACUACCAAUUUUAUUUGUAAAAAUAUAAUUUCAUAUAUAUAUAUAUGUGUUCGGGUACAAUCCACCGACCCCUACAUGGACUGAAGGCCUGGACCGAGAUGGGAUCAUCGAACCCAGUGGGUCAAAGCCAUAACUGAAGAAACUAAGAUCAGCAUCGGGUAUCAGAGCCCUUCGGGCCUGAACCCAGACCCGACCAAUAAUGUAUGGAUCGAGUAUCCGAGUCCAUCGGACCGGAACCCAGACCAGCAUUAGGAUGUUCGGGGUCGGACUACCGAGCCCCUCGGGCCGGAGUCUAGACCGAACGAAGGAUGAUUGGGAUCGGGCUACUGAGCCCUUCGGGCCGAAGACCAGACCACAUUAUAAAGCCCAUAUCGAAGGUUAUCUUUCGGAUGGAAUCUGAAGGAAUAAGGAGUCUAGACGAUUACGGGUCCUAACCCUAAUCGUAUCUACCUACCAACUCUUAUAAGGCAAGUAGUUGGAUAACAGCCAACUUGCACUUUAGAGGAGAUUGGGUUGGACCCAAACAUUGAUAACUGCCAUGUUUAGGAGUCCUAAUUUGACUAGGGUAUGGACUCUAGAGGCGGUGGGAAUGAUUAUAAAUACAAGGCUUGACCUAAUGGUAACAGGUAAUACCUACUUGAGCACUAAAUACUAUUACCUCCAUUGUUAAACCUUGUGACCAGCCUGUACUUAUUCUCACACCGGAGCUAUCCCCCGGCGGCCCAAGCCGUCAAGCUUCGUUGUGACUGUUACUGUGCAGGUUUAGCACGUGAAUUUGGUGAUUGGACGCGCCGGCAAAACAUGGCGUUAACAUUGGCGCUAGAAGGAGGGCUUUUAGUGUUUAAAACAAUCACUCGUGCACUUUUCCGGUAGACAGACAUGGCUAGUAAGGACGGUGGAGCUUUUACCCAGGAAAAGGCCAGGACUCACCCGACGACCUUGGGAAAGGCGUCGGUUAAAGACCGAUUGGGACCGAGCAACCACGACGAAGAUUCGAUGCAGGCCUCGUCGGCACGAAAGCAGUUAUUCAUCCCCAAUCAGUCUACUCCGGCACCCAGCACACUCACGUAGAAGACAACCAGUCUCAGGCCUACCGAAGACGGGAUAAGGAUCGGAUGGAAGAUAGUGGGGACCAACGUCAAUUCAUCCUGUUGACAAAAAUCCAACAGAAUAAGGAUGCUAUGUUGGCCCUACGUCUCCAACAAGAGGAACUGGAGUUGCAGAUGGCUAAGGUGGCUGGGGAACAGGAGGCCUCUUCGAAGAGGCAUAGACAUCGGAGCCGACACAGAAGUCAUUCUCGGGAGAGGAGAAGCCGAAGGAGGAGUCGUUCCCCUGAACGAAGAUCAAAGCAUCCAGGUCGAUCGGGACAGAGGACGAGGAUCGGAUCUCCGGAGAGGGACAGGCACAAGCACUCCCCCCGUAAAGAAAAGACCGACCCCCUCGCCCGACGAGUUGCAGAAUUGGAAAAGCUCCUAGCUUCAAAAGGGCAAUCGGGAACGCCCUCAAGCUGUCAUAGCUCCCCCUUCUCACCCGAGAUCAAUCAGGUCAUUGCUGACCCGAAGAAGAAAAUGCCCCCGAUGGAGACCUAUGAUGGAAUGGGGGACCCGUAUGAUCAUUCCGACGGGUAUGACAGAUUGAUGACCUACUACGGACAUUUGGACGUAGCGAAGUGUCACAUGUUCGCAACCACCCUGAAGAAGAGUGCCAGAUAAUGGAUAGGAACUUUGGCACCAAGGUCUAUCACUUCAUGGAACGACCUUCGGGAGAAGUUCCAUGCCAGGUUCGGGAGCAACAGGAGAAGGGGUAAAAUUACAGCUUCUCUCAUGCAGGUAAAACAACAUUCAGACGAGACUCUCGGCGCCUAUGUCAAGAGAUUUCGGGAAGCCGUGGGAUCGGUGGCAGAGCUAAAUUCACCUCAGGCUUUGGGAUUUUUUACCACAGGUCUGGACAUCGGCAGAUCGAAGAAACUGAUGAAAGACCUUGUGAUCAACCCUCCUUCGGACCUGACCGAAGCCUUUUAUCGGGCCGAAGGGUUCAUUGAGGUCAAAGAAGCCAUGGGAAAUUUCAAGCCACGGUCACAUGAUAAAUCUAAAGACAGAGACAAGCAGAACACCCCACAGUCGAAUAACAACCAGGGGAGAUCGGGUUAUCAGGGGAAGAAACAUUAUAACGGUGGCUCGGGCAGUGGCCGACCACCCAUUCAACACAAAAGUAUUAACAAGGUCUACACUCCCCUUAAUACUGAUCGGGCUAGAAUUUUGGAGGACAUCAAGGACAAGCCUUUCUAUGAGCCCUGCAAGACGAGGCCGAAGCCUGGGAGGCGAAGCAAAAACAGGUACUGUAAUUAUCAUCAGAAUGCCGACCAUUCAACGGAGGAAUGUCUGGACCUGGGAGAUCUGAUAGAGAAGAACAUACAGAACGGAACCUUGGUGCAAUAUAUGGUCGGUAGGGAGAAUACCGAACCACCGCCAAGGGAAGAAGACAUGUAUCAAGCCCGGGAAGCCCAGCCAAAUCAGAACCAGCCUGCCCGGGGGGUGAUUGAUGUUAUUUCAGGUGGCUCGGUAGGGCGUGUAACCGGGCGGAAGAGAAGUGAACAUCUGGAAGCAAUGCUAUCGGUGACAGGAUCAUCGGUGAAAAAAGACAGGGCCUUCUUGGGGACAGUUAUUUCUUUUUCAGACGAGGACUAUUCGUCGAGCCCCAUAGAAUCUCAUGACGGGGCACUGGUGAUAACAGCUCAGGUCGGGCCAGUGGAUAUGAAGUGGAUGAUGAUAGACAACAGAUACUCGGUCGACAUAUUAUACAUACAUGCCUAUCAGAGGAUGGAUACGGAGGGACAGAAGAUGGAGCUGGGAGGAGAAGGGCCCUUGUAUGGGUUCAGUGGUGACCCGGUGCAUGUAUCGGGCACAAUUGAGCUACCAGUCAGGUUCGGAACAGCUCCACAUCAAAGGGAGGUCAUGGUCAGAUUCUUCGUGGUCCAGGUGGAUUCGGUUUAUAAAGCGAUACUGGGAAGACCGACCCUGGCCGCCUUGCAAGCAGUCACAUCCAUACCUCACUUCAAGAUCAAGUUUCCGACACAAAAUGGGAUCGGGGAGGUAAAAGGAGAUUUAGACAUUGCCCGAAAGUGCUAUCGGACUACCUUGAUGUCUUCAGGGAUCGGGGUGAGCAAACAUAAACAGACGAUGGCCAUUGAAAUAGAGCCAUUCACUGAAGGUAGUACGGAGCCACUCGCCCUACUAGCCGAAGAGACGGUGGAUAUCCAACUGAUCCCGGGGAACAAGGAUAAAUUAAUAAAGAUAGGGCCGGGACUAACAGAACCCUUCCGGACUGGGCUGAUAGAUCUGCUUCGGGCAUGCAAAUAUCUUCGCUUGGACACCCAGUGAUGCCCGGGGUAGAUAAAUCAGUUGCAAUACACCGGUUGGAGGUAGAUCCCAACAAGAAGCCCGUCAUACAGAAAAGGAGGACUUUUGCCCCAGAGAGGCAAAAAAAUUAUUGAUGAGGAAAUUGCUAAAUUACUGGAGGCAGACUUCAUCUUUGAGAUCGACUACCCGGAGUGGUUGGCUAACGUGGUAUUGGUUCAGAAACAGAAUGGAAAGUGGAGGACAUGCAUCGAUUAUACAGAUCCGAACAAAGCUUGCCCGAAGGAUUUCUACCCUCUACCCAACAUCGACCAGCUGAUUGACGCCACUUCGGGAUUCGGCAUACUCAGUUUCAUGGACACUUUUUUGGGGUAUCAUCAAAUCUCGAUGGCCAAGGAAGAUAUCCCGAAGACUAGCUUCAUAACUCAUCGGGCCAUUUAUGCUUACAGAAAAAUGACAUUCGGAUUACUUAAUGCAGGGGCCACUUAUCAACGGAUGAUGAACUAUGUGUUUACGAAAUAGCUAGGCCGAAGCAUGGAGGUCUACGUAGAUGACAUGAUUGUCAAAAGUAUGUCAGUCCAAGAUCAUUUGGCGGACCUGGAGAACUGCUUCGAAACGGUUAGGAAACAUAAGCUUCGUCUGAACCCAACAAAGUGCACCUUCGGAUUGGGAUCGGGAAAGUUUAUGGGUUAUCUGAUAAGCAAAAGAGGAAUCGAGGCAAAUCCAGAAAAAAUUCAGGCUAUACUAGACAUGAAAUCCCCGAAGUCUUAUAAAGAUGUACAGAGGUUAACAGGUCGGAUAGUAGCACUUCGGAGGUUCGUGUCAAAAUCAACAGAAAGAUGUCUAUCAUUCUUCGACACUCUAAAGGGGCCAAAGAAUGGACCUCUGAGUGCGAAGAUGCAUUCCAAGGGAUCAAGCAAUACUUGUCUUCGGCACCUCUGCUGAUGAAACCGAUCCCUUCGGAACCAUUAUACCUAUACUUAGCAGCAAGCUCGAUGGCAGUGGGGGCAGCGCUGGUACGGGAAAAGGGGGGAAAGCAGUUUCCGGUCUACUAUGUCAGCCACGUUCUUCGAGAGGCCGAAACCAGAUACCCGAACCUGGAAAAGUUUGCCUACGCUCUGAUCAUCGCAAGUCGAAAGCUUCAGCAUUAUUUCUAGGGACGGCUAAUGAUAAUCUACACAGAACAACCAUUGAAGAAAAUACUACAUAGGCCCGAAGUCUCGGGUAGGCUGGCCGCAUGGCAAUGAAACUGACUAAGUGGAUAUACGAGUUCGGCACAAGUUGUGCGAACCCGAUCCCCACGAAGCAGAGAAAGGAUACUAUGAACUCAUGAAGAGGGAAUCGGACCCCAUACUUCAGAGCAUAGGUAGGGAUGGCCACCCACUUGCCCUCGGGGCGCCAGUACAUCCUCUCUUCGGGCUUUGGCACCCGAAGCUUGUAUUCUCGGAGAAUGUUGAAAAGCUCCCGAGCGUCAGAAAGUUGGGCGGGGGUGAUGGUGGAUUUGGUAUUGAUAUGAGAGAAGUUCUCCUCGGAGGAGUAGCACUGACGGAUCUGGGCCUCGGUGCCGUCAGUAGUGGCACCGGUCGGACCGACUGGCAAAUCGACCGGCACUAAGUCGGUACUGGCGAUUGUGACGGUGGAGGCUACUCCGACAGGAAUGGAGGUAGUCUCAAGGAUGAGAACGAUGUCGGAGGUAGGGACGGAGGGAAAUGAGCUAGAUUCAGCCAUGGAAACAGACGAAAUGAGUUAAUUUGAAAAAAAAGAGAAGAAUCAGAGUAAGGUUUUAGCUCGCCGAAAAUUGCCUUUGCCGGAAAAUUGGAAUUAGAGUGUUUGAAAAAUAAAGGCUCGUAAAAGGGGGAAGUAAGGGAGGAUGGGGGUAUUUAUAGGGACAUAUGCACGAAUGCCAAGAGGCGGCUAAUCAUAACUUUGGGACCGUUCAUUUCUUGUGUAACGUGCACUGCAUUUAUUAAGUCGGUUGGAUUACCUAGGCGUCUCUUCAACUCUCUCAUUAAAUAUCCCAUUAAUAUCUAUUAUAAUGAGAGACUGGGGGGCAAUGUUCGGGUACAAUCCACCGACCCCUACAUGGACUGAAGGCCUGGGCCGAGAUGGGAUCAUCGAGCCCAGUGGGUCAAAGCCAUAACUGAAGAAACUAAGAUCAGGAUCGGGUAUCAGAGCCCUUCGGGCCUGAACCCAGACCCGACCAAUAAUGUAUGGAUCGAGUAUCUGAGUCCAUCGGACCGGAACCCAGACCAGCAUGAGGAUGUUCGGGGUCGGACUAUCGAGCCACUCGGGCCGGAGUCUAGACCGAACGAAGGAUGAUUGGGGUCGGGCUACUGAGCCCUUCGGGCCGGAGACCAGACCACAUUAUAAAGCCUAUAUCGAAGGUUAUCUUUCGGAUGGAAUCUGAAGAAAUAAGGAGUCUAGACGAUUACGGGUCCUAACCCUAAUCGUAUCUACCUACCAACUCUUAUAAGGCAAGUAGUUGGAUAACAACCAACUUGCAUUUUAGAGGAGAUUGGGUUGGACCCAAACAUUGAUAACUGCCAUGUUUAGGAGUCCUAAUUCGACUGGGGUAUGGACUCUAGAGGCGGUGAAAAUGAUUAUAAAUACAAGGCUUGACCUAAUGGUAACAGGUAAUACCUACUUGAGCACUAAAUACUAUUGCCUUCAUUGUUAAACCUUGUGACCAGUCUGUACUUAUUCUCACACCGGAGCUAUCCCCCGGCGGUCCAGGCCGUCAAGCUUCGUUACUGUUACUGUGCAGGUUUAGCGCGUGGAUUUAGUGAUUGGACGCGCCGACAAAACUUGGCGUUAACAUGGAUAUAUAUAUGUGUGUGUGUGUGUAAUGCAUAUAUGUACGGCAUUCUUUCUUGUUCUUUGCGGUUUCUUUUUAGAGGCUCUAAUUAUUUUUUGGCUGAGAGUAAGACGUGACUAAAAGUAACGAUAUACUGUAAUUUUUUGUAGAAAGUUUUACUCACAUUAUAUUAUAGGGAAUAGUGCUCACUGCUCAUAGGCCACCUUUAAUUUCAAUUCAUUGUGGUUAUAAUUAUGUAAAAUCACUGUGUUACAUGAUGACAUGCAUGCAGGCAUUAUGUGCAGGAUCACAAUGAAUAAUAUACUUAAUUAUUUAUUUAUUUUCAUGCAAUCUUUCUUGGGAAUAAUUAGUAAACAUGAAAGAGAAAAUCAACUCUUGUCUAGCUAAUUAAGGGAAUAUUAUAUAUGUUAUUCGAGAGAAUUCGCAUGGGUAAAAAGUGAGGAUGGAUUUGAUUAAAUAGUGGGUGUUAAGGCUAAAUCAAAAGGGUUAACAUGAUUAAUCAAAGUUGGGACCUAAUUACCUAGAUAAUUAAUAGGAAAGAAGGCCUUUAUCUAUAAUCCUCUUUUAGUUGAUACAUUACCAUCAUUUUGAAAAUCUAACAUUUCAAAUAUUGAAGUUUCAAACUGUUGCAUUCUUUGCUCUCAUUACGCCAAAAAAAAAUUUGAAAUUUCCUCACACGCUCUUUUUUUAGUUAUUUAUUUUUCAAUUUGUUGAUGUGCUUAGAUUCUAGUUCAAUUUAAGACGAUUAAAUGCCUAAAUAUAUGUGAUGUGUUCUUAAAUGGUUAAAUAUUCCUUUAAGAAAAUUACCUCAAAAAAAAAGAAGAAGCGUUUGCUUACACAUUUUGCUCCUGAGUUUUUUGAGAACAGAAAAGGACAGAGAAGGAAAAAAAAUUCUCCAAUAUGAACAUUUUGAGAAAUUGAUCACAAACCUGUACAAUAUUUGAAAGUAUCAAAAAUAUCUUAUAAUAAUUUAGUAAACAUAUUCUCAAAAAGGUAAAAUAUUAAUGUACUAUUUUAAAUUAACUUUUCCAUCCAAAACACAUAAAAGAAAAUAAUUUACUCUCUUUUAUCUUAUCUCAUUAAUUUUAAAUUUUCUUUUUCUUUUUUUUUCUUUUGCUUCUCACACUCACAAAACACACUGAAGAGAAAUUAUCAUUUCAUUUGAGAGUACUAUAUUUCAUAAAAUUUUACCUCCAAAAUCUCAAACGCUUAAACAGCCCACCACAAUCUUUUACCAAGACUUCUGUUUCAAAACCUCUAAACGCCGUUAAUUUUUACACGGCACCCUCUAUAUAUGUAUAUUUGUAUAUCUGUAGCAGACACAAACGCCCCAACUCACAAGCACAGCAACUGCAGAAGAGAUCAAAGCGAAAAUUCGUAAGAAUUCUCUUCCAUUUUCGUCAAAACUUUCAGUAGCACUUGAUCUGUCCUGCGUUCAUUCAUUAUAAUGUACUUUAAUUUAUUCAUUCGUGCAUAGAUCUAUGUACCCUUUUUAUCUCUUGGCAAUUUAGUUGUUUGUUGAUUUUUUGCAUAUUUUGGUGAAUAUGUGUCGGUGUCUAAGUUUUGAUUCGGAAAAAGGUUUUGUUUUCCCCCUUUUUGGGGCUAAAUGUUAGGUUAAGUAAUUGUUGGGUUGAUGUCGAAAUGUCGGUACGAAAAACAAAUGAAGCUCAUAAUCUUACAUGGGGGAUGAUGGGUUUUGUUUUAUUAGCAAAAAGAUGAGGGAAAGUUGCAAUCUUGAGUGGGAGAAAUUAUUGACUGUGAUAAUUUGAUUGAGGAUGGGAAUUUUCAUGUUAUGGUUAAUAAGAAAUAGUUAAUCACCAUAUUCAGUACAUUAUUCAGCAACCAAACUGUGGAGAUGGUGUAUUUAGUUAUUGAUAGCCAACCUCAAGCACCCUAUAUUCAUUGUGUGCUAAUAUUGCUAACUGAGUAACAAUGUACAUUAAGAAUAUCGUGAUUUCCGUCUUUAUUUGCUCUCAAAAGAAUCAGUUUGAAGUCCCCCCCCCCAAUCCCAGCCAACCCCAAAUUUCUAUGUCUAUAUAUUAUUAUGUGGAUGCUUUUGUUUUGAAUAGGUUAGUUACCUCAGCAUCAUUUAUAUAAUAAAUUAAGGGAACAUAGAUUCGAAAUAUUAGGAGGAAAUGAGAGUAGACUUAUCUGAUUGUGAUUAAACUGACUUAUCUUUAGUUGUUAUUCAUUUGGUUUUUCCUGUAUUUUUCUUCUUCUGUGAUGUUUUGUCUCUUCGCCAAGUUGUGUUUGGGUAUGCUCAGAGUGCAGCUCAUUUCCGUUAUGGUGUUAUUUAAAUUCAUUUUAACACAAGGAAAUAAAUUUCCUGGAAACUAAACAUUUGGAUGUCUGGUAGGAAUUUGGUCCCCGAUAAACACCCAAAUUAAGCUAUUUUGAUGUAGUGGUAAUAUAUCUGCUUCUUAUGUGCAGCAAAAUGGGAAUGGAAGUUACUGAUAUUUGUAUGGACAAGGAGCCUGACCAUGUCGUUUAUUCAAAUAGUGUUUCCAAUGAUUCAAAUCACGAAACUAUCGGACAGUAUGAUGAUCUUGACUCACGUGAGAAUAUCAACGGAGAUCCAGAACCUAAAUUACUGAAAGAGAAUACCGAAGUUAACGAGUUUGUUGUGAAGGAAUGCUCAGCUGAAGACUCAGUUGAGAUUUCUAAAGCUUUUCAAGUUGAAGAGAAGAAGGUACAAGAUGUACUGAGCUUAAAAUGCAAGUCCGGCUUGCUGGAGGAGAAGAAGAAAUCUGAAACAGAAAAUCCAGAGGAUAAUAGUAAGAAAUCUGAAACCGAAAAUCCAGAGGAUAAUAGCAAGAAAUCAGGAUUUUUCCUGAAACCUGCAACCAAAUCUAUUGCUGGAAACGUUAAGACGAAGUACACUGUUCCACAGCCAUUUGUUCUGGCAACUGAAAAGCGUGCUCUAUGUGGAACUCGUCCUACUGGACCUGAAACUGAUGCUGUUACUCCUGUGAGUAAAUCAUCUCGUGCAAACAGUUUGUAUACCCCAGUUUCUAAGAAGCAGAAUGAGGUAAAACCCUCUACCAAAGCCUAGAUUAAAAUGCUUUAAUCUUUCUUUCUGUUCUUUUGCAUUUAUUUUUGUGCUUCACAGAUUUAAUUAUACUAGAGUGUGUUUUUUACUAGAUGGUCUGUUUAUAUAUGUUAAAGUUGUAGGGCCUGUAUGGUGGACGUUAACAUGUUCACUCCUGCACUUACAGGAGCCAGUAAAACUAGUACUUACCAAUUGAUUUUAAGCAAAAAAUGAGCUGUCCCUUAAUGUUUAUUCAUUCUUCCUCACUUGUUUAUAUUGCAGAACUUCUCAAAAGUCAAAACUGGAGCUAACUUUGGAACUUGUUGCACAGCUUUUAGUGUUAUGUUUAUUAGAUGUCUGUCUAUUUCUGAACGCUGACCAGUUAGAUUUUCUCGUUUCCUGGCAGCUAGUCUCACCCUUGGUAGCACGGAAGCCAUUGCAGCAUAAUAACAAGAAGCAUCGUGAUGAAGAUGACUCUUGUUCUGUUGCUUCCUCGUAUCCUUUUUCUGCCAUGACUCUCAGAUUCUUGUGCUUGUAUCGUCCUUUCAUUUCCUUUUUGUCCCUUUGAGUUUGCUAAGCCAUUCUUAACCAUGCAAAGUAUAGCUGCAUCAAUAAGGACUAUUAAGCCCAGGACAACAUCUGCGUCAGCUCCAGUGUUCAGGUGUACUACACGUGCAGAGAGACGGAGGGAGGUAGCAUUUCAUCAAUUUCCUGCAUGUGAAAUUUGUUUAAAUCCUACUUCAGUGAGUUUGUCUAAAGUUGGACCAGAAUGAAAAACUGUUUUCCGGUUCUUCAUUUUGCUUCUUAUCAUUUAUUAGUUUUACACAAAAUUGGAGGAAAAGUACCAAGCACUGGAGGCCGAGAAAACUCAGUGGGAAGCAAGGACCAAGGUACCUCAUCACAUUUCUCUUUCUAUGUUUUAUCUCUUUUGUUGGUAAAUAAGGAGCUCCAUUCCCGUUCCGCAGACUGCAGAUAUAAAUUAUCUUUUCAGUAAUUCUCUCUUCCACUGUUUACAUCUUAUUCUUCAAUACAUUUGCUUGCCUGAGAUAGAUAUUUAUCUUCUUUCGCUAAUCGAUCUUUUAGGAAGAGAGAGAAGCAGCUGUCAAGCAACUACGAAAGAGUUUGACGUUUAAGGCAAACCCAAUGCCAAGCUUCUAUCACAAUGGACCACCACCAAAAGUUGAAUUGAAAAAGGUACCCUAGAUAUCCUUCUUCUCAUGCUUUAUUUACAAGAAAGCUUUCUUGGAUGUCAUUUGAGUGUAAAGUUCCCAUAUUUGCAGAAAAGAGAAGUAACAUUGAUGUUAAAUUGUUAAUUAGAAGCAAAAAUCUGCUUACCCAAAAAUUUAUUUGUCAAGUUGACGGAUCUUUACAUGUACCAAGUGCAAUCUAGAAUUUUAAAAACUGGCUUGCUUGAAUGUCAGCCACCACCAACUCGCGCAAAAUCACCAAAGCUGGGCAGAAGGAAGAGCUGCAGUGAUGCAGCUGGUUUAGAGAAAGGGAUAGGAGUCUGUGGUCGAGGAACUCGUCACAGUCUCGGAAAUUACAAAGAUAGUGCUACAAUUGAUAACACAGACACGAAGGAUCACAACAAUAUCCAGAAUGGUAAUGCUACUUACAAAGUCAUGUCCAAACAAAUGAAAUGAGCGAUGAAUGAGUCUACUUCGCCAAGGAAUAUGGACAUGGAUGUUCAGUUCUAAGUUUCUGGUGAGUUUUUUAAUUUAAGAGGGAGAAGAAGUUUCUCUUGUUUUUAUUGUGGCUGCUUUAAAAGGAAUGCAUGUUUGAUUUCAUGAACCUGCAAGGACUUGUUGCAGUGGUUUGUGUAAUGUUAAUGUAUGUGUAAAUUAUUUGUAAGUUAUGCUGGUACCUAUGGAUGUGGAGUUCUUGUCUUGUUGUAAAUCUGAUGUUUGAAGAGGCUAAACUUCUCAUAGGUGAUUUGCAUUGUAUUCUCUUUUAUCAUAUUUAUAAAGGUGGCAAUUUGGAGAUCUGACUUGCAACAUUUUUGUCUUAUCAAAUAGCAUCUUUGGCUUAGACAACUUACAUUAAAGUUUUUAACUUCAUUAUUGGGUUUUUUGUGAAUCCUAAUAUGCAACUAAUGCAAGCAUUUGAAUCUCUCAAGUACAAACAUACCCUGUUCAUUAUUUGUUCAAAUGUGUUUAGUAGCUCCCAAUCAAAUUCAGUUCAUCAAAUUAGUCACUUGGAAAAAGAUGUUUAACAUGUAAAUUAGUUUUUGAUCCUUGUAUGGUAGGGCUGUGAAUCCAUCUCUACUCAUUAUUGACUGGUAUUAAGUUUUAUAAUAAUUAGUUUAGAAAAUUGAUAUUUUCACAUCAUUUUUUUAUAUUUCCACACGUAAGGCUUACAUAUAAGUAGUUGAUGUGUCGAAUUUUUAUUGAUUAUUAUAUGGGUUAUACGUAUAAAAAUAUCAAAGAAUGAUGUGGAAAUAUAAGUCUACUUAGUUUAAGCUUCGCUUAUGGCAACUCAUUUACACUCUUUGGUGCAAUUGAUGCAAUAAUACAAACACAUUUGAAGCAUUGCAACAUUUUGCCCUGAGAGACGGGACAUUAAGAUCUUUGGGCCUCCUAGUCUAUUAUUGAUGCUAAAAAAAGGUUGACUUGACUAGUACUGUAAUAAUAAUAUUAAUAAUAAUAUUGCAGCAAAUGUUACCUUGUUAUGGACACCACUGAUUAUGCUCUUAACUUCCUCCACCAAACUCACACACAAAAUAACAUAAAAUAAAAUUUAGGAUGUGUUUGGUUAUACGCAACCAAACACACGAACUUAGAUAUUUGUAUAUUUACUUAUUUGUAACUUAUAAGACACCGUACUACUCUCCAAAAUAUAAGAUUAUUAUUGAUUUCUUAAGUCAACUUAAAACAUUUUCAAACUAAAAAUUAACAUAAAUUUCUUUAAUUUUAGCCAAUACAAUGAAUGUCAGUUUUGAAUUUAAAAAAUGUUUCAAAUUAACUUUAAAAAAAUAAUAAUGAUUUUAUAAUUGGUAAGUAUAUAAAACUGAAAAACAUGAUUUGAAUGGGGUAUAAAAAUAAGAAAAAGUGUCAUCCAGGCUCAACAAAUCAAGAAAUUUUUAAUUCUCCUCCUCGAGCGCGUAUAUAUAUAUAUAUGGGAAUGAUCCGUAACAUCUAUUUGCUAUGGAUCAAAAAGUGACAUAUAACAUCUACACCUUCCAUUUCAUAAAUGAAGGGCCCAGAUUGAGAAGGCGCUUACGCCGUCCGCAAAUAUUACUAGCGGACGUGGUUAUAUAAUUUUUUUGGCCGAAUUGACCCCCAUUGAGCCUAAGCAGUAAUCAAAUCUUAUUCAUAUCCGCUAGUUCUACUAGCGGACGAGUUGCAAUGAAGUAAAUCCAAGCGUAUGAAUCAAAAGUCUCCUGCGGCAGAAAAAAGUCUCCUGUAGCAAACUAGCCUAUAAAUCAAAAGUCUCCUGUAGGCUGUAGCAAACUACACAAAUUGGUGGAUUCAGAAAAAAGUCUCCUGUAGCAGAAGUCUCCUGUAGUAUAAAUCAAAAGUCUCCUGUAGCAAACUGGAUUCACAAAAGUUCUCCUGUAAUAAACUGACUUAUAUAAAUCUAAGUCACACAAGGACACCAGUAAAUUCAAGUCAGUGAAGGACACAAAUCCUGUAAAUCCAAUUCACAACGAAUUAUAAAAAUCUUACCAAUACAAAUUUUGCGUUUAAGGACGAACUCCUCCAAGUGCUGUAUAUAGAGAGAGUUUUCCAACAGGAAUUCCCAUCCCCUGCAAACACUUCACAGUAGAUAAUCUUAGUUUAAAGUGAAGAGAAAGCAUAUGUGGCCGCUGACAGCCACAUUGGGGAUAACCAAUGAAGCUUUUGGUGUUUUAGCAAAUAAUGUUAAUAAAUGUACACCAAAAAAUAUAUCUCAGUGAUGCAUACCAUGCCGAUAGUGGUGAAACUAACUGAUUUAUCCAGCAGGCAUAUUUACCUGACAGCCAAGAUCACCAAGUCCUAAUAUACGCUCACCAUCAGUUGCAACAAUAACUUGAAUAGUCUAGAAGAAUCCUCCCCCUAAAAAAAUCCAUUAGUCAGAACUGAAACAGUGGAUGGUCUGUUGGAAACAAUUGUGGGUGUUUUGGGAGGAGGCCAAUUGGGUCGUAGGUUGUGUCCCAGAAAUGAAUACAAAUUUGUUAUCUAAAGCAUUUCAUUUGCUUGCCGUCCUUUAGAUGUCCAUGAAAAGGGAAUUGGAAUAUCUUCAUAGUUGAUGCUUCUACUUAAACAGGGUGCCUACUGCAUCCUUUGUCAAGAAAAACCAACUACUUACAAACACAAUAGCUAGCUAGGUGCCUACAACACUGAACUGAACAUUCUUUUUCUUUUACUGCUGACACAACCCAAAAAUAGGAUCCUGAGACAACCAAAAGAAAAGACACAACAAUCGGUAUGACAAAAAUAUUCUGCCAACUACACCAUAUCAAAUUACAAUAUAUCAAAGGUACAGUUGGCAUCCAAUAUUUAUAUCAUUUGGAUGCACAGUUGCUGACCUGUAUCUUGGAUAAGUUCAAAAAGGGAAAAUAGGUUACCAUCAAUCUGUAUAUCUUUUCGCAUCAUCUUGUAACCUCAUGUCAUCAUUGGCUCCGAGUUUGAGGCAUAAAUAUUUAAAAACUAAGAAAGUAAAUAAUUAGACGAGCAACAUGACAAAUACUGGAGGCUCAAAUUCAUUUCGGUCUACUGAGAAGUGACAAGCAGACCUUAAAUCCAAAAAUUCAAUCAUGAGAUCAUAUGUAGUUGGGAGAGUUGUGUAUAAAUGAUUAUUUCCAUUCAGUCACGUUCCAAGUUUCACAUGCAAUGCUUUUACUAGAAUCUCAUUUGUCAGAAUGAAAUAUUGACAUUAAUGAUGAUGAUAAGAUAUAGAUAAUCCGACAUGUUCAAAAGAAUUGGCAAAAGAAAACUAUUCAGAGCAACAAAACGAUGGCUAGAAACUACAUCAGAGUUGUACAAAAAGUAUGGCAAGUUAUCAAAUCUCAUCCAAUGUGACGUGGAAAAAUGAAAUACGUUUGAUAUAUACCACAAUCACAGGACCACUCAGUACCACCGAUAAAACCUCAUAUUAUCCUUACUUGAUCUUUGAUUGUGUAGGGGGAUUAAGCAACUUAUUUAUCAAAAGUAAUAGGAAUACUCCGUCCAUAUCAAAAGUAAUAUAAAACCUCGUAUUAUCCAACAUGUUCAAAAGAAUUGACAAUUCAGAGCAACAAAACGACAACUAGAAACUGCAUCAGAAAAAGUAUGGCAGCAUUAGUCUAGGAUGCAGUCCUUAGCAGGCAAAUCUCAAUCCGCAGAGCAAAGAGAAAGAUUAGCAAAAUAUAAAUGCAGUGAUUAGAGGCUAAUACUGAGGCUGACACCAAGUGAUUACCUUUGCCCUAUCCAGAUGGCGGUUUUCGGGAAUGCCGUUGAAGCGUGCUAUGUAUGUGACAACCCUGUGGUGCCAAAACCAAAAAGUUGAGUUGGUAUCACUUAUAUAUUUUCAAACAAAACAAACAAAACACUUUAUUACCUACCUAUCUUGUGAGCAAAUCCAGUCCUGUUUAAAUUCUCAGCGAGUCUGAUAGCAGUUGGGAUUGAUGCAAAAUUACACAUAACAUAAUUAAUGCACAAGAUCAAUUCAGUAACUUAUAAUAAAAUUCCGUUGAUGAAUAUUAUAUUACCCAUCUCUAAAGCACAUAGUUGAAUCUGGGUGUGAUUAUUUAAGUGUCUCUGCAUCAGCACAAGAUAAAAAGAAUUAAUAUGCUACAAAAAAGCCAUAUAAGAAACAUAAUUAAUGCACAAGAUACUUUCGCCUUAUAUAGGCUCUGUGUGAAGUUUUUAUCCUUGCAAACGUUGUACACAGGAAUAAAAACUCGGAUAUUCCUGUGUGAAGUUUUUAUCCUUGCAAACGUUGUACACAGGAAUAAAAACUCGGAUAUUCCUUUGAUACACUGGAACAUGAAAAAGGGGACAGGGGCAGGCACAGGACGAGCAUAUUUGCAAACGUUGUACACAGGAAUAAAAACUCGGAUAUUCCUUUGAUACACAGGAACAUGAAAAAGGGGACAGGGGCAGGCACAGGACGAGCAUAUGAGUAGUAGAUGGGGCCAGGGGCACGAACAGGAAGAGGGACCGGGACAUUCACCCAAUUCCUCCUCAUCAAAAUUUGAAUCAGCAGAUUAAAUAAAGAAAAUGAGCAAUAUGAAAUUGGGAUUUUCAAAUUGAAACACUAAUACUGACCUUAGCCUUAGCCAUGUCUAUGACAUAGACCGACAUAAUAGUACUUGUCAAAACUCCUGUUUCAAAACAUCAAAAUUUGAAUUUUGACUGAUCAAAAUUAUGAAUUUUGACUGAUCAAAUUUUGACGUUUUGAAACAGGAGUUUUGACAAGUACUAUCGUGUCAGUCCAUGUCAUCGACAUGGCUAAGGUCAGUAUUAGUGUUUCAAUUUGAAAAUCCCAAUUUCAUAUUGGUCAUUUUCUUUAUUUAAUUUGCAUAUUCAAAUUUUGAUGAGUAACCGGGUGAAUGUCCCGAUCGCUCUUCCUGUUCCUGUCCCUGGCCCCGUCUACUCCUCAUAUGCUCGUCCUGUGCCUGCCCCUGUCCCCUUUUUCAUGUUCCUGUGUACUAGAGGAAUAUCCGAGUUUUUAUUCCAGUGUACAACGUUUGCAAUAAUAAAAAAUUCACACAGAGCCUAUAUGAGGCGAAUGUAUCUUGUGCAUUAAUUAUGUUUCUUGUAUGAUUUUUUUGUAACAUAUUAAUUCUUUUUAUCUUGUGCUGAUGCAGAGACACUUAAAUAAUCACACCCAGAUCCAACUAUGUGUUUUAGAGAUGGGUAAUAUAAUAAUUAUCAAUGGAAUUUUAUUAUAAGUUACUGAAUUGUAUCUUGUGCAUUAAUUAUGUUAUGUUUUUUGCAGCAAUCCCAACUGCUAUCAGACUCACUGAGAAAGAAAGGGGUUCCUCACUUUUCUUCAUAGCUAAUCCAAGUUUCUGCAUAACCUCAGAGAUGUGUAUCACUCUCGGAACAGCUGCAACAAUUAAACAACCCAAUAUUAACCAGUUACUUGACAAAUUCGAAUUAAGAAUCAAGAAAUAUCACAUACCUCUCCCCAAAGCCCAAAUGUCAACGUCAAAUCCAUUAUCAAAGUGCAUCUGCAUUAGUGCCAGAGAAGAUUACAUAAGAGUUAUAUCACAUGCACAUGCAUGCAUCACAUGGAAUUAAUGAAAGAUGGUGUCUAGAAUGAAGAUAGAGUAUUUAGAGUAUUUUUGACAAGGUGAAAGUGUAAAUUUUAAAUUUAAUCUUAGUUUUGUAUAAUGCUCAUGUAUACUCAAUUAGACUUGACAGAAAAAACCAUGCAAUGAGAAACCACCCGAGAGACUGAUAAACCUAGCUCAUCUAGGGGUGUUCAUACAAUUGACAAUUCAAUCGUGUCACGGAAGCUAUGUUGGUUGGUGUACUUAAAAGACUUGAAGCUUUAAAAAUCACAUGUGAACUAAGUCUCAACACCAACACCUUUGUGAAUAAGGUGUAAUUCACCAAGUCAUGUGAUAGAUGAAUGUCCUAGAGUCAUGGCCCAAUCUGAAGAAUCUGAACAUGUCAAUACAAUGUUUCAAAAACUUAGGAAUGACCCAUUUGCUCCCACUUAUAAUCCAAGUUGGAGAAAUUAUCCUAAUUUUGCAUGGAACCAAGGACCCUACCCAACUAACUCAUCAAAUCUGGUCAAUAAGUCUCUAAAUCAAUAUUUUCAACCUUACCAAAAGUCAAAUCCUAGUCCAUACCAAAAUUUAAAUUAAGCACCUCAAUAUCCACCAGGUGUUUUUCUAAUAAAAGUGAGAAGAGACUUGACACUUUAGAGAAAAGUGUGGAAACUUUAAUAAAAUCUUAGCAAAACACCAAGUCUUAUCUCGUCUAGAGAUCUAAAUGAGUCACUUGGUUAAUCCAAUUAGUGAAAGAGAGAAGGAUAAGUUUUCUAGUCAACCCGAAACCAAUCCAAAAUUUUCAGUUCAUAAUCAAAAACAUAUCAUGCUAAUUCACUUGAAAACAACCAAGUCAAUCAUGUGAAUUCUGUAUCUUUUUAAGGUCUGGAAAUUAUUUUAACAAUCAUGCUAGCAUUGAUAAUGAAGAGAAAAAUUUAAAUGUUGAAUCUAACAAUCCAUCUUCAACUGAAAAGCCCACAAACUAUGUGUCAGUAGGCUCCAUCCACUAAGCAUGUGUCAAACAAUGAUCAAACCACAUCUUCUCAGUUAGAUGAAAAAGUCUUUAAACCAAAAGCCCCAUUCCCUCAAAAACUUAUUUCAAACAAGCAAUCAGCUCAAUUAAACAAAAUUCUAGAAGUGUUCAAACAAGUGAAAAUUAAUAUUCCUCUUCUAGAUGCCAUUCAAAGUUCCCUCAUAUGCUAAAUGGUCUAAAAGAUUUGUGCACACACAAAAGAACCACUCAUGUUCCUAAGAAAGCUUUUCUAACAGCUCAUGUUAGUUCUAUCUUGGCUUGUCAAGUCCCAAUGAAAUAUAAGGACCCCGGUUGUCCUACCUUUUCAUGCAUCAUAGGUGACGCCUUAAUUGAAAAAGUUUUGUUUGAUUUAGGAGCUAGUGUGAACCGUUUACCAUUUUCUGUGUACCAAACCUUGGGCUUGGGAGAGUUGAAAAAAACUAGUGACACACUCCAACUAGUUGACUGUUUCGUUAAAGUGCCAAAGGGAAUAGUUGAAGAUGUACGUGUUCCAUGUUGACUUUGUUGUCCUUGAAACCUAGCCUAUUGUCAAUCCCAAUGAUCAAAUUCCUGUCAUAUUAGGUAGACCAUUUCUAGCAACCUCUAAUGCAUUAAUCAAUUGUAGAAAAGGAUUAAUGAAAUUGACAUUUGGAAACAUUACAAUUGACUUAAAUGUGUUUAAUGUAGGAAACCAACCUAGUGAUUUUUCUGAUCAACCCGUUGAAAUGAACAUGAUUCAUGAGAUGUCUGAAAAUGAACUUACGGGAGAACAUGAAAUUCUUAACUUUUUUUAAAUCAUUUUGGUCAAAAUUGGGAUGAAACUAAAUGCUUGGAAGAGGUCAAUGAGAUGUAGGACUCCACAACCCAAAAUCUUACUCUAGACAGGAACCAGUAGUUGAAUAAGUUUGGCACAUUUUGAGCAUUUUAAAGAGAAUCACACUGACCUUAAAUUUAAACCCUUUUGUGAUCAUUUUAAGUCUACCCUGGGUGCAUCCGAAGCACCUUCCAUAAUCACUAAAUGUGAUUUAACAAAUGAACCAAAGGUUGUGGAUAAUGAGAAUCUUCCAUGUUUAGAUAAUGAGAUCAUAUCUCCCAUUUUAGAUACUGCAUGUGUCAAUCCAAUGGUGUCUAAAAAUCUUGGUAUAACAGUUAUUCAAAAUGAUGAAAAUGUUUUAAUGCCCGAUGGUAACGAAUAUGGAUGGCAAGUUUGGAUAGAUUUUUUGUGAAGUUGAAAUUCUUAAACAAAAAAUAUUAUUUUCCUUUGUCAUUCAUUGACCCUCUUUUAAAAGGAUCAGUCGGGUAUGCUCAUAAUUGUUCUUCUGAUGCAAAUUAUGACUAUUUCCACUUACCCGGACCUUCUGAAAAUCCUACGAAUCCACUCUAAGUUGUCUGUAUACAUCACUCAUUUACCGUCGCAUAAUUUCAAGAUGUAUAAAAUUUUUAGAUAUGUACAUUUGUUUUCCUUCUCACCACAUUUUCUUAUAAAACAAAUGUCUCACCAUACAAGGUACAAUUUUUUCACAUCUUUGUUCUCUUUUUUUCAUUUGCAUACAUCGAGGACAAUGGAUGAUUUAGGUAUGGAGGAGUUUUACAUUUUUAUUAUUAGAUUUUUUUAUGUAUUUAUUUUUCUUCUUUUUAGGAACUUAAUUCUUUUUGGAAAAAAAAACCAACACAAUUGAAAAUUUGAAAAAAUUAAAAAUUUUGUUCGACUUUUAUGGAAUGAAUUGAUUCUACCAAGUAUCUGUGGGGUAAAACUUAAAGUAGGAUCAAAAGAUUUAGAACUAUUGAACAUUUGAUUAGAUACGAAAUCUUAGUUUGAAACACCAUCUAGAAUAAAAUUGAUUUCAUAAGCAUUUUUGCACUUCACGUUUGCACUAAUUCUUAGUUGUGGGGUAUAAACCUAUGAUUCGAGCAAUUUUCAAGAAAAGAAAUUUAAGAAAUUGAAAAAAAAAAGUCAAAAAACAAAAUAACUGCUUCAAUGUCUAUUGAACAAAAUAACUGGGUAUCCAAGCCUCAGGAAGCAUCGAUAUUCACGCUGAAAAGUGUGAUAGAUAUAAGCAGCUUAACUAGUCUAGUUUUGUGGCCUUUGUUACUCGAGUAAGGAAGCCUUUAAGGGUGUCUCUACACCUAGUGCCCUAAAGCCAACUAGUUUGGGAGUCAUUGGUCUAACACUCGCUACAUGGGUUACUCAGGAAAGCCUAAGAAAAAGAGACAUUGCACAAGUCUUAAGAAUAAAAUAAAAAAUAAAUAAAAAUGAAAAAUGAGUUUGCUUCAUUCUCAUGGUAAAAAUCCCUACUGAGAGUUAUAUCACAUACACAUGCAUGCAUCACAUGGAAUUAAUGAAGGAUGGUGUCUAGAAUGAAGAUAAGAGUAUUUUUUAUAAGGUGAAAGUUUAAUUUUGAAUUUAAUCUUGUGUAUAAUGCCCAUGCAUACUUGGAAGUUUUCUUUUGAUUUCAUAAUUGGUUAAACUCAAAAAUAUUUUAUUUUGAAUUGUGGGAAUAUUCACUACAAACCCUCACAAGACACAACACAUCCAUUUGGGGUAACCUUGAGAUCUAAAGGUUUGUUGCACAUGUUAAGUGCAAUCGUAUUUCCUACAAAAAUGGGAUAAUAUAGUUUUUAUUUUAUUUUUAUUUUACUCGAGUACGAGCAAAAGGUAGGUAUGGGGGUAUUUGAUAGAUUUAAUAUUCUCAUAUUUUUUAUUUUAUAUGUUUAUUUUAUUUAAUUAAUACAUUUUAUUUUGUUUUGUAGGGAGUGAGAUAUUCAACAAUUGAGAGCUUUUGUCUUUCUUCUUAUUCCAAUCAUGUAAGGUACUAAUGUCCGGGAGUAUUUGUAACUUUCUUUUAUUGAUAUAAUAGAAAUUCUCUUGUUAAUUAUUUUUCUUAUUUCAUGCAAUUAAUAGUAUUAUUUUUUGAUUUCAUGGCUAGCUAAAUUUCUAAUAAUGAAACUAGGUAUUACAUAUUAAUAUUUUCUUUUCGUUCCGAAAUUAGUGUAAUUGUUUUCGCCUUCAUAUUUUCCUUCGCACAAAUUGCAUAUGAUUCUUAUAUUGUUUGCGAGGUUUUGAUGAGUUAUAAUUAAUCUGUGAAUUUUUCAUAACUUUAUGUUUGCCCAUAUUAAUUAUAUGAAUCAUUAUUUUUAAAGGGAAGGAAACAAUUUGAUAAUUAAUUUGGAAAAUAAGAAAUUGUUUAUUAUGUUAAUAUUUGGUGGAUUGGGAUUCUUAGGUAUCUGUUCUCAUUAAUAGUUUUUAUUAUUAAUUAUUAGUUUGUAUAAUUUAGUUAAUAAAUCUUCUCCACCAUCUUUGUUUCUAAUUUACCUGAAAUAUUAAUCAAGGAUAUAUUAAAGAAUUGAUUUAGUCUAUGUGGUUCGACCUGCACUUGCCAAAUCUACAAUAGAUACUGUGCACUUGCAGUUAUUAAAUUUUAUCACAUCAUGUAUUAACAUAUAAUUAAUACUUUCUAUCAAGGUUUUCAAACCUAGACCGGUCAUCAAACCGAAAAAGGUACUGGGUGGAUAGGUAACUGGUCCAACCAAUGGUCGAACCGUUAUUGACCAAGUGAUGUCAAUAAUAUGUAAUAAAUAAUAAAUAAUUAAAUAUAUUAAUUAUUAUUAUAUUAUAUAUUAUAUAUAAUAUAAUAUUUAGUAAAUAUGUAAAAUUAAUCAAUUUAUCUACAAAAAAUAAAACUAAAAAUAUUUGCACAAAGUUUACUUAAUACAAUUCAAAUAAAUACUAAAUCUAUAUGAAAAGAAAGAUUAAAUCACGAUCAUAACUCAAAACUCAGUGAUAAAAUCAAACACAAAUGAAUAUAAACAUCUUUCGGAUAUAUUCAAAUUCGAAAAUUUAACCACAAGUUCGAGUGUUUGAUUAAAUAUGAAUGCAAACAUAUCUAAUAUACCAAGUAAAGUCUCAACUAAAAUACUAAAUUACUAAAAUAAAAUCUAUGACACUUAAUUCACAAAAAGCAUAAAUCAUUCCAACUUCGAGAAGGUGAUGAUUGUUGCCAAUUUAAAGGUUAGUUUCAAACUAAGGAAUCAAACUCUUUGAGCAUACAUUAAAAAAGCUCAUACAUACUCCUCAGAAUCUCAAAAAUGACCAACUAAAAGUUACCAUCCCUUAACCCUUACCUAGCAAAGAGUAAAGACCAUCAGAAGAUUAAACUUUACUGAUAAAUGAUCCACAAAAAUGCGAGAAAAUUAAUAACUUAUAAUUACUAGAAAUCAUGAUCUUAGCAAGGCUAUAUAUUCCAAAUUUUCAAUAGAAAACAGAGGUUGUUCUCAACAAAAAAAGAGUCCCCAAAUCCAAUCGAGCCUGAGGUACUUCUGAAUGCCUUCAAUUCGCUUGAGAAGCCGUCUCUUCUUCGUAAGUUUUCCCCAAACAAGUCUCCUUAAGGAGGCCAGGGUACUCUGCAUAGAUUGAUCAUGUUGUUCCCAGACCCGCCUGACUAAAUUGCCGAAGUCUUCAUGAGAGAACCAGGCAGCUUCCAUUCUAAAAGGUCUUCGAUUGGCAGGUAAUGCUUGAAUAAAGGUUGUUCCACCCAACCCUCAUCUAGUUUUUUUGAAAGGAGCAAAGGCUUUCUUCAACAUUUGUACUGCAUAGAUUGAUCAUGAUGGUGUUUUUCUUGUUUUUAUGAUCAUGACUUCAUUGAACACAUCAGUCAUUCUAUAGUUCGUUCAACUUUUUGGGUGGAAAACAAACUGGGCAUUCUAGGUAACAAGUGAAGAGAGUUUUGCUCAUCAGUCCAUGGUUCAAAAUAUUAGCCUUUGAAAUUUCUAAAAAAAAAACUAAAAAAUUACACCCAUCCUCACAAGGAAACCUAGAAAACAUACGAAAUAUUCAAAAAACUUACAACUUACUGAUUAAAUAAAAAACUUACCGAACUUGGAUCCGAUGAUCUGCCUAAAAAAUGCUUCAAUUACCAAACCUGUUCGCCCAAUUCGAUUUCACUAAUUGCGACCAGCCCCAAUAAGAUUCAAAGAACUAGGGUUUAUGAAAUCGCACCAUGGUUUUUUCCCCAAUUCGAUUUCGGACAAUUUCACAGAAGGCGAUUUCACAAAUUGCAAACAACCCCAACUCGCAACUAGAUUUAACAGCACGCGGGCCCAAGAAAUCGCAUGAAGGUGGAAGAAAUCGCAUGAAAUCGCAGCACAAAUUGCGAACAACCCCAACUCGCAACUCGAUUUCACUGCACGCGGGUUGAAGAAAUCGAAUGAAGGUUGAAGAAAUCGCAUGAAAUCGCAGCAAACAUUGCGAACAACUCCAACUUGCACUCGAUUUCAUUGCACGCGGGUUAAAGAAUUCGAAUGAAGGUUGAAGAAAUCGCAUGAAAAAUGGGCACUAGGGUUUUUAAAGAAAGAGAUGGGAUUUUGGUGAAAUCGACUUAUUAAAAACAUUUUAUAAGUUAUUUUUAAAUAAAUUUUAAAUUAUUAUUUAUUUAUUUUGAUUUAUAAGUUAAAAAAUAAGUUAUUAUUUAACAGUUUAAUAGUGAUAAAUGACUUGUAAAUUAAUUUGUCUAACUUAUAAGUCAUUACAGAACAUGGCCUACAACUUACAAGGAAGUCAGUGACGAAGGAACCAAAAGAGUGUGGAUGUAAGACGGGGAAGGAGAAACGAUUUUUAGGGCAACGGCGCAACGCUAAUUUUAUCACUCUUUAUUCGGGACGGGUGAUCAAUUAGAAUUAUGGUUUCGAGUCGGGUGAUUACUCAUCGUCUUCUCCUAAUCGCAUUUUGAAUCGGGUGAUGGGAAUUUUGGUCAAUUAAAAGAGUAGGUUUAAUUUGGCUAUGUUUCUUUGUAAUGUUAACAAAUUUUCACCAACUUUAGUUAAAUACUAGCAAUUGAACUCGUGCAAAUGUGUCUGUUGUUUUAAUAUUAGUAAAUAAAUUUAGAUAAAAUUAUGAUUUUAAAAAUGUGUAAUAUAAAUAAAAACAUACAAUUAUUUACGUGUUGUUCUUGCUUGUUUUCGUUUUAUAUUAGACUAUAAAAUUUUGUCAGAUAGAAUGAUAAUUUGUAUUCUUUAAUACAUCAUAGUUUUGUCAAAUAGAAUAAUAAUGUACAUUAUUUGAUGAGUGUAUGAAUUGGGAGAGUUUAAUUGUGUUUAUAAGAUACUGUUGUCCCCAAGAACGGAUCCAUAAAUUUUUCUCAGCAAAGGCGAAUUUUAACUAAUUUUAAGUGAUAGAGGAAGAACUUGGUCUAUAGGGGUGGAUCCAAAAAAAAUUCUCAACAGGGGGGAUUUUAGUUACUUUAUUUGUUGAAAUUAAAUAAAAAAACUUGAACUAAUCAUUAUAUUAAGGCUUAAAUAUGAAUUAUUACCCUAAACUAUAGGCCAUAUUCCACUUCGGGGAUCAAAGUUUUAAUUUUUUCAAUCAGGUGAUUGAACUAACAAUUUUUUUUAAUUUGUUCAAUUGAGGUUGCCACGUCUGAAAUUCCUGACGUGGCUAUUUCGAUGGGCCAUUGUUCAGCUGAUGUGUAACUAAAAAAAUAUAUUUUAAUGUUUAAUUACACAAUUAUUAUAUAUGAAAGGGUAAAAUUGUCAAACCAACUUAUAUUAUACAUUAAUACUAAUAAAAAACAACAAAAUCUAAAAUCAUUAGCCAAAUAUUGAAGAUCUCCUCCGUAGCCACCAUGGUUAUUAAAAAUUCAUAAAAUUAUUUCUCUCAUAAAAUCACAUCUCUCAUCCAUCUCAUAUCUAUACCAUGUCAGAUCAAAAAAUCAUAAAAUCAUUUCUCUCAUCCAUGGUUAUUAACAGAUUAUUUCUCUAUUCUAUCUCAUCUUUCAUCCAUGGUUAUUUCUUCGAUUUGACCAUGGUUUUGUUCAUCGUUUGAGAUUUGGUGGUGAUGGUUGGGUGCGGUGAUGAGUGGAUGGGUAGAGGUCGUCGGCGGUGCAUGCUCGUGACAGUGGUGGAUCUAAUAAUAUGGUGGUAGAUCUAGUAUGAUGGUUUAUCAUGGUGGUGUAAUAUGAUAUUGGUGAUGGUUGUGGUGGUAAGAGUAGUAGAUCUACUAGUGUUAGGUUUGCGGUGGCUGUGACAUUUUUUUUUCUCAAAAUCUCUCUUUGGUGGUGACGAUGGGCGACGGAUGGUGGUGAAAAUGGCGGAUGGUGGUGUAUGAUGAUGUAUGGUAAUAAAAGUAGAUGGUGGUGUUGGUGGCGGAUCUAUUAAUAUGGUGGUAGAUCUAGUAUGGUGGAGGUGGUGGCUACGGAAGUAGUGGUGGCGGCGGUGAUGGAUUAUGCAGCGGUGUAGGCGGCGAUGGACUGUGAAGAUGGAUAUGGUGAAGGUGGUGGCUACGGAGGAGGAGGUCGUCCGUCGUCGGGAAGAUGGUGGCGGUGGUUAUGGUUGUGGCCGAAGGGAAGGCUGAGGCGGUUAUGGCGGUGGUGGUAAUGGUGAUCCUGAUGGUUUUUACUUUUGAUGUUUUUGAUUAUUAUUAUUAAUGUUUGAUAGAAAACUGUUUGACAAUGUUGCCCUUUCAUAUAUAAUAAUUGUGUAAUUAAACAUUAAAAUAUAUUUUUUUUAGUUACACAUCAGCUAAACAAUGGCCCAUCGAAAUAGCCACGUCAGCGAUUUCUGACGUGGUAGCCUCAAUUGAACAAAUUGAAAAAAAAUUGAUAGUUCAAUCACCUGAUUGAAAAAAUUGAAACUUUGAUCCCCGAAGUGGAAUAUGGCCUAUAGUUUAGGAUAGUAAUUCAUAUUUAAGCCUUAUAUUAACUAAUCAUAAUAAUGUUUACAAAAUGUAAAGUGGUGGUGGAGAAUGGAAAUGUAGAAGAAGUGGCGGAGAAUGGAAAUGUAGAAGUAGUGGCGGAGAAUGAAAAUGUAGAAGUAGUGGCGGAGAAUGAAAAUGUAGAAGUAGCUAGUGGCUAAGCCACUGAGGCAGAGAUAUAAAAGACAAAAGUAGAAUGAAUCUACAUUAAUCUGUACUUGUAUUUAGUAUAUGAAUGAAUUUUUUUGCCCUCUCCAAGUUUAAUUCUUCCAUUAAUUUGCCCCCUUGAAUUUAUUCACUUAUAUAAUUGCCCUUACCCCUAUACCUAUAAAAAAAAUCAAGCAGAGGCAGCCGCCUAUGCUACCCCUUAAACAAAUCCGCCCUUGGUUGUCCCCUCGAUUCUAACUAAUUAAUUAAUCAUUUCUUUCUUAAACUAUUAUCACAUAAUAUCCAAAAAAAGAAUAGAUUUUACAUCUCUUAGAAGAACAGAUUAAUGAAUGGACUUAUCUACCAACUGAUCAACUCACCGAAUUUAAAAUAUUAAUUUGUGAAUGAAUGAAUUCAUGUAUCAUGCCGAAUCAACUCACUAGGUUUUCAAAUUAAAAGUUAAUUAAAUAUAUAUUGUGAUUUCAAAUAUUGGGAUUAAUUGAAUUGUUUUGCAUGUUAUAGUUUAGGGGAUUACAUAUUUAGGUAUAUUUUUUAGUUAUUUAUUUUAAAUACAAACCUUAAAUAUAAUAUUGAAUUAUCUAAUUUUGAUGNNNNNNNNNNNNNNNNNNNNNNNNNNNNNNNNNNNNNNNNNNNNNNNNNNNNNNNNNNNNNNNNNNNNNNNNNNNNNNNNNNNNNNNNNNNNNNNNNNNNAUGUAUCCAAAUGACAUCCAAAUCACUUUAUUCUGUAAAAAUUUCAGUUCCAAUAAAUCACAUAAAUUAUUUGAGAGACAUUAUAAAAAAAAAUAAAAAAUAAUAAUAAUUUUGGCCGGUCGCUGCCCCGGUCGCCCAAUCCCGGCCCGCGUAGAAGGACUCAUGUAGAAGUAGUGGCGGAGAAUGAAAAUGUAGAAGUAGUGGCGGAGAAUGAAAAUGUAGAAGUAUCUAGUGGCUAAGCCACUGAGGCAGAGAUAUAGAAGACAAAAGUAGAAUGAAUCUACAUUCGUCUGUACUUGUAUUUAGUAUAUGAAUGAAUUUUUUUGCCCUCUCCAAGUUUAAUUCUUCCAUUAAUUUGCCCCCUUGAAUUUAUUCACUUAUAUAAUUGCCCUUACCCCUAUACCUAUAAAAAAAAUCAAGCAGAGGCAGCCGCCUAUGCUACCCCUUAAACAAAUCCGCCCUUGGUUGUCCCCUCGAUUCUAACUAAUUAAUUAAUCAUUUCUUUCUUAAACUAUUAUCACAUAAUAUCCAAAAAAAGAAUAGAUUUUACAUCUCUUAGAAGAACAGAUUAAUGAAUGGACUUAUCUACCAACUGAUCAACUCACCGAAUUUAAAAUAUUAAUUUGUGAAUGAAUGAAUUCAUGUAUCAUGCCGAAUCAACUCACUAGGUUUUCAAAUUAAAAGUUAAUUAAAUAUAUAUUGUGAUUUCAAAUAUUGGGAUUAAUUGAAUUGUUUUGCAUGUUAUAGUUUAGGGGAUUACAUAUUUAGGUAUAUUUUUUAGUUAUUUAUUUUAAAUACAAACCUUAAAUAUAAUAUUGAAUUAUCUAAUUUUGAUGUUUGCAUUUUUGACUUAACAUAUUUAAAGAAAGUUAGGUGAAUAUUUGUUUCAAGUUGAGAAAGAACUGUUUUACAAAUAUAUAUAUAUAUAUAUAUAUAUAUAUAUAUAUCAUUAUAAAUCAAAUGAAUCCAAUAUAUUUAUUAACUAGUUAAACAUAUAUUAAAAAAUUAAAUGUCGUAGUUAAAUUUCUUAGGGGAUUUUAAACAAUAUAUUAUAAGAUUAAUUAUUUUUGUUUAGCAGAUGAGACUCAUAACUCUACUUCUCAAGUCUCAAUAUUGUCGGUAGGUGUCUUACGUACUCCAACUUUUCUUUUUUAAUUUGCAUUCUAGAAAAAAAAAUACAAAGAUUUAUAUUUAGUCUUUAUAGAAAAGGUUAUGGAUAUUCUAAAAGUAAAAAUGAUGGACAAAGACCCCCUUCUUUACACAUUUCAUCUACUUUUUUUCAUUGUACAUUCUACAACAAAAAUAUCAAAGUGUGAAGAAUACAAGCAGUGAAUCUCUCUGAGAAAGUUACACUAGCAUAUAUAUGGCUGGACUAAAAAAUAAUGGGCUCAAAUAACGUAAUAGGUCCAUGUAGAGCUUCAUCCCCGACCCCCCUUAAAGGAUUAGUGGUGGGCUAUGGACUUUGGCCUAUCGGCUUCAGUCGUCCGCUACCACCACUAAACCUUUCCUUCGGGUCGCUGCACAAAAUAACUCAGGUUGGUUCAAAAUUCUGAUCCCGAACAAGAAUUCGAGACGCACAAAACACUUUGUUUCUUUCCCCUAAGACUUUAUUUUGCUAGUGUGGAAUGAUUUUUUCAGAAUAAGAACUGGAUUUCGAGGCUACCAUUAUGUCAUCUAUAUAUAAUAGCAGAAAAUGUUACUACGUUGUUCUUGAAGUUGAAGUGGUUGUUUAUAUUUUUAGUUUAUGUGUUGGUAGUGGUUACGCUAACUUGCAUUCCUUUCUUAAAUUUCCAUAAUAUUUUAGAACAGUUGACAUUAUUAUUUUAUCUUGCAUAUUGAGACGUAUCAGCCUAUAAGUAGGUGUGGAACUUUUUAUAAUGUUGAAUACUUUCUUUAAUUUUAUUCUUUUAGAUUCCUAGCUAGUUAUAAGAAGGAAUUGAGUUUGUGGCAGAAACUCAGAUUUAUAUCAGGACCAUACUAGCUCAAGCUUUUGCUUCCUAUGGUGCUGCAGAGUUUCCUUAUGAUUUCACUGACACCUGAAAGUAUUUCUUAUGUCCCAGUUACGUUAUCACUUGAAUUGUAACUUAGAAUUUCAUGUCCAGAUUUUGACAGAUGCAGCUUUGUUAAAGCGUCAAAAAAGAGAGAUUGAGGAGCUUCGGGCUAAAUUGCAGGUUGAGUAUAUGUUAUCAUGAUUUAAUCAAGUUUGUGACUUUUGUUGUGGACUAGCUUUUAAAAUUAUCUUCUUUGUGGUUAAGGGAUCUCACUCAGAACACUUGGAAGAGGAGAUUCUUAAUCUGCGGAACACAUUAUUACAGGUUUACCUGAUCUUCAUUUUCUAUUUUUUCAUAUAAAGAUCAAUAUGUGCAAAUUAAUUAUACAUGUUCCAAUUUAGACUGAACUGGAGAGGGAGCGAAUAGCUUUGGAGCUGGAGGAGGAAAAGAAAGCACAAGCUGAAAGGGAGAAGAGGUUGUAAGAGCAAGCCAAGAAAAUUGAAGAAGACUGAACAUGAAGAGGAAAAAAAAUCAACAAAAUUAACCCAUUCACAAAUUAGGAACACAAUAACAAGCCACAUUUUCAAAAUUCAUAAAGAUCAAUUGAAACUAUAACAGAAACAUAACACAAAAUGACAAAAUAGGUCCAAUUACACAUCUAAACAGCUAAAUCCAUAACCCCAUAACAACUAAAAUAAAUCAUACAUGUGAAAGCUUCUCAUUAAUUUGGGUAGUAGAUGGAAGAUUUUAAAUUACCUGCUUGUUGCUUGUGCAGUUGUGUUAACAAAAGAGAAGUCGUGAGAGACGGUCCGAUGGAAGUCAAAGAUUGGAAAUUUGGAAUCGAUGAGAGAUGAGACUUGAGAGGCAGAAGGGCGGGGCCGCGAGGGAUAGGAGGCGGAGACGGAGUCGGGGAGAGGGCGAGGGCGGAGGCGGAGGCGGAGGCGGAGGCUUUUGUUAGGGCAGAGAGCCAGAGACUGAAUAGAAAUGGGAUAAAUCAACUUUUGGUACCUGUAUUGGAACUCGACUUAUAAUUUGGUACCUAAAGUGAAAAAAAGUUAUAAACUGGUGGUGAUUGUAUUCGAAAAAUGUUACAUUCCGUUAAAUAAUAGGAUUUCAUCUUUAUUCUGUUUAAAAAUUUGACAGGUCAGAUGCAAAGGAUGACACGGCGAUGAUGGGUAACAAAGUUGUAUAGGAGGGUUUGGAGAAUGAGUAGCUGAUGAUGAGAGAGAGUAGGGUAAUGGUUUUUCUUGUGCCGGUGGGCAUUUCGAGGAGAGAGUGGCCUUUGGCAUCUAGGGCACGCUUCAGUUCCACCAUGUAUGAAUAUUGUUCUGGGUGUGAUCGUAUGGGAAGUACCCAGUAACAUCUUCGAUUUGAAACUUCAUCUCUCCCUCUGCAAUAUUUUCUCUAAUCUAUAUCUAUAUCUAUAUGUUUCUGUAAAGAAAGAUUAAAGUUCAAUUUUCAGCAGGAUGAGGAAGACGAUGGACGAACAGUCUAGGACGGUGAUCAGUUACGGUGGCUUCGUUUCUUUUUAUAUUGGAAUUGGAAUCUAAAUAUUAUGCGUAAUUGGGUAAAGGAAAAAUAUAGGCAGCAGCGAGAGCGAGAGCCUUUGAUUCGAAUUUAUGGGCAUCAAGGUUCGAAUUUAUGGGCGAAUAUAUGGAGCAUUUGAUUCCAGUGGUUUGUUUUAAUAGAUGGCUUGUUUAUGUGUAUUUCAAUUUGUCAAUUAUGCUUUACUGUUAAUUUUUAAUUUUCAGAUUUGGAUGUUUUUGAUCUAUUAUUAAUUCCUACGUUCAUGUCUUUGUUCAUGGGUGUUUUUGAUCUGUUUGUCUGAUUGGUAUGUGUUCCAUUUCAACUUGUUAGGGGCGUGAUGUUUAUUUUGGGUUGCAGCUGAUUUGGAGGUUCUAUCAUUCUUACUUUCUUUAUUGUUGUUGUAUGAUUGAUUUGGCUUUAGUUGAGGUUGUGUCUUGGUGAUCUCCGACCUAUUUCCGGCUGGCUGAUUUUGGCAGUUUGCCAAAAAAUGUUGGUAGGUGCAACAGAGGCGGUCUAGUCAUCUUUGGUGCUGCACAUGGGUUCCACUUGGGCAAUAACUAGUUUAUCAUUAUCCACGUCAGAUGAGUAAGCUACGUUAGAAUUUUCCAUCUACUCCGUUAGUCAAUUUUAACGAUUAUUUUAAAAUUAGAAAGUACAAGCACUAGAUUGCAACAUUUUUCGAGUACAAUCACCUAUUUGUAACUUUUUUCACUUUGAGUACCA